CGCCGCAGCGCUAUAAAUGAUGGAUGAUAGGGUAGUGUUCGUCUCGUAAACUCGUUGUAGCUCGAGAUGGCAGCAACAAGAACAUUUCUCGCCGCCGCUUCCUUCGUCCUCCUCAUGGCCCUCAUGAGCACGGCAACCAUGGCCGCGGACGGCCCUGCGCCGCCACCGACUACCAGCGGCGGGGGUGAGAACUUCUCGGUCCGUGAGAUUCAUUCGAUUGCUUUGGCCUUCUUCGUGUCAUUGGCCACUGUGUUCUCCCUCGCCUACUAGGAAGAAGACGACAGCGGGCUUCGCUGUUGGCUUCUGUCCAUUCUUCCUCCGUGUCGGUUUGCCUUGGUAUUCUCUGGUAGGGAGGAGACGACAGCUUCACUGUUGUCUUCUGUUGAUUCAUCUCUGGUGGGUACUUAGUAUCGUCAGGUGCUUCGAUUAGCUCAUUGUGAUUCGUCUAUUUGUACUGGUCAUGAGGAUUGUAUCUCCGGUUUUAUUAUUUUUAUAUGCUCUCCUUUUAUAAAUUUGUUCUGUGGUUCUCCUGACUUAUUUUAUUAUAAUAUAUGUAUAUAUAUAUAUAUAUAUAUAUUUCAAAUGGUAUUAUUAAUUUAAGAAAUAUCUAAAAUUUAUUAUAGUAUUUUGGCCACCAUAAUACUGUAAAAUCUCUAUAAAUGAAUCUAAAUAGAUUUCUAAUCUCAAUCAAACCAAUUUUAUAAACCUAAAAAUAUGAUAUUAUAAUGAUUUACGAGUAACUAUAAUUAAAGAAGCAUAAUAUGAUGUCACUUAUGAUAUUUUUUUUGAUAAUUUUAUAAUAAUUUUAGUACCUUAAUAAAGGUACUAUAAUGUUAUUAAAAAAAUAAUGUAAAUGAGCCAAACCAAAGUGUGCAAAAUAUUCAAAAUGGGUGAAAAGAUAGGUAGGUGGAAAGGGUAUAUUAUUAUUUAUUAUGGUGUUGGUGUAGUAUCUCAAUAUAAUUUUAUAUUUUCGGUUGAAGAUUUUGAUUUAAACCUAUCAAAUAUAGGAGUGGAUUAUCUCAUGAGAUUUAACUGUGAUAGCAAGUAUUUCAUCGAAGCAAUCCCAACAUGACAAAGAAAUAAAGAAACAUAGGAAGAGUUGGUCUAUCAAUCCACAGUUAAUCCUAAAUGUAAAUGAAUGUGAUGCUAAUAAUACAACAGAAGCAUAAUAAGUUGAAGAUUCUAAGCGAACGACUCGUUUUACUGAUCAUGGAGAUUCUCCCAAGAUCCACACUUCUCAUCAGGUUGUUGCACUCCACCUAUUGGAUGAUAGGAUUUGCCUUUCACCUUUAUCGUUCAUCUCUUUGAUUGAUACAGAAUUAACCAUCCAAUCAAUCAUGCAUAAUAUAAAAGAGAGAGAGAGAGAGAGAGAGAGAGAGAGAGAGAGAGAGAGAGAGAGAGAGAGAGAGAUGCAAUCUUUUUCUCUUGUGCAUGCAAUCAUGCAUAAUAUAUUAACCAUCUUCUUCCUCUUCUUCUUGCCCCUUUCUUUACGAGCAGCAGCUGCUUCAGUGAACCGCCCCCUUAUGAUUCCUGCGCGAAUGCCUGACAAUGAUUGCAUGCAGAUGCCGUCAUCGCUUGUUUGGUUUCACUCCUCAAUCAUUCUGAAGCAUCCGCCGCCGCCAUGCCAGUUCAUGGAGCAGCGCAAGGUAUCCAGCAAUCGCCGCACACAAGGUUCUUUCUCCUCAGUUCUUGCUUCCAUCUCUAAUGGUGGACUCAGUAAUAUGCCAUAUGUAACUUCGAGACUGUAGGAGUGACUGUCAAGCACAGAGCUCAAGUGUCCUUCGUAUUCUUGGCUGUGGACCUCUAUAGCAGACAUGGGAGCUCACAAUCUAUCCUCAUGUGAGUGGGACAUGAAAUCAUAGCCUGCUGAACCCACCACUGUCUUUGUUCUCUCGGUGCCCGACACCCCAUUGUGCAUGAAAUAUGCCAUCACUGUCACUCGACUGUGAGUUCCAUUCGAGUGCUACAGAAGCGCACAUUAGCACGCAGGAAAGCAUGUGCAGAUAAUGGUUUCUGAGAUUGUUUUUUGUCUCAAGUUUCUUGUACCACAUUUGAGUGAGUCCAUCACAUGAUUGGGACAGCGCUACUGGAUUUGGUGGAGGUCAUUAGUGUAGGAUGAAAGGAAAAGUAGCUUGAGAUGCAGUGAUUUGAUGACUCCAAGGAUCAAACUCUUACUUCCCACCUUCCACAUGAAUCACAUCAUGAAGCUUGGAUGUCUUUUCUUCACCUGUUUUGUUGGUAAGUUGCAAUCUGAAAGGACCACAGCAUAUGCUUGUUGAUGAUUGUUAUAGAACAAAGAACAGUUGGGCCUCGGAAUGCAGGACAGAGAAGGUAGGGUCACCAUACAGCAUGCUCACAUGGCAAUGCACAUGAAGGUUGUUCUCUUUGAUGAGGCUAAAGCAGCCACAUACAGAGAACCGCAAAUGAGAUAGAUAUUGAGGCAGCUGGAAAUCAAUUCAUUCUUUGCCUUCAUUUGCCAUUAUUCCCUACUAUUUUUUUGGUGCAAAUCACAAGAGUCUCUUGGCCUUCCUUCUCUGUCAGUCACAUAGCAUGCUGAUCAUGUGUUCUUGCCAUUUCUUUUUUGUUUGCUUGAUGAUAGUGUGAUUUAUUUCUUCUUUUUCUUGAGCAAAACAACUCAGAUAAAAAUAUAUGAAGCAUCCAGUGAAAGAUAAAUAAUUUCCAACAUCCAACAUCUUCUAAAUUAGGGAUUGAACACAAUGCCCAACAAGCCAUUCUACCUGGCUUGUGCCAGAACCUGCAUGUAGGACCAAACUUUUCAAUCAAGAUGGUGAGAGUGACUUGUCCCAAUAGCUUGCAGAUAAGGUUCAUUCAUUGGUGUUGCAGAAUUGUAAGAUCAACAGAGCCAAAGGGCAGUUUUCUGACUGAGGACAAUAUGGGGGCAGCUCAAGUCAGUCCUAUAUAAAUGGCACCAUGAAGACUUGUUUUCCAUGCUUGGAGAGAGAUCUGUUUCCAGAAGGGGGGGAGGUGGGGAUAAAAAUGGUGUCCAAGGUAGAAGAAACCAGAUUCAGAAGGCAGGAAUCCUUGAAGAGGAACAAGCAGGACAAUGAGGUGAAGGGGAAGGACCCAAAGCAAGAGGUGGUGAGGCUGCAAAAGGUGUGCAAGUUCAAGAGGAGCAGCUUCAGUGAGGAAGAAGAUGCUACUUCCUCUGCCAUUCUCCUCUUAGCUUGUAUUGCAUGUGCUCCUCCUCCUCUAUAGCUCUGCCUUCCUUUACCUUCGGACUUAGCUUCUACCAUGUAAUUCUGCUCUCUGUGUAGCUUUUCUCCCUCCUUGUGCAACUUCAACUUACUAAUAGAUCUGUCACUUCAUGUAGAAGCUUCAGAUCACCAGUGUUCAUUGUCCUCUUGGGAACAUGUACACAGUGGUGCUCUGAUACCUGCAGCUCUUAGGAACAUUGUUCCUCCUGGGACCAUGAACACAGUGACAACCUACACCAAAAGAUGGUCAUACGACAGUGUCUAAGGAAAUCUCAAAGUGAAAUGUCUGUGUUGUCUCUUUAUGCAUGAAGUCUUCAAAUAUGUUUGAGCUGUCUGUAAAAUCCAAGCACAAACAGGUACCACUUCCAUCUCACUUUCAACACAGAAUUAGAUUCUCUCUCUACACCUCUUCCAUCUCACUUUAUUACCUACUCACUGCAUAUGGAUGGAGAUUACACUUCAGGUACCAAAAUCCAAGUUCAUCAAUGGAGAUUACACUUGAUCACUUGGAGUUUCAAAGUAUAAAUAAAUUAUACUAUGAUCUCUUUCUAGUUCAAAGCCAGUUCACCAGGCUUUCCAAAUUUAUGUAGCAUCACAGAUCUUGGAAGAUCAUGUGAGGAUGGAAUUCUAAAGUUUGAAGUCAUACAGUAGUAUAAUACAUGAGAAAAUGGAUGCACAGCACCAAGUGAUUCAAAAAUUAAACCAGUCAUUAAGGAAUUUAUUCAUGAAAUGAGAUUAGAUUGUUCACGACUAAAACAUGAAAUGCUCACUUACGGUAUCAACGUAAAUAAGUACCUCCAAUAUCAAAAAUCACAUGGGAUAAGAAAGAAAUUAUGUAUCAGAAAUUGGGAUAGUAGCCACUACUCAUCCGAAAGAGGAUCUGAAAAGUAAUUGUUCAGAGAUGGCAUGAUCUGGGGGGAUUUGUUGCGCACAAACUUUCGGAGGCCAUGCUCUGCAUAUUUCUCUCCCUCUUGAAAGUUAUCAAGCACACCUGCAGCUCUGUUUUCCUUUGUGACCCUGUCAAAAGAUUCAAAUUAGAGUUAGUGCAACCUCUGAAGGAUUUGUUUCACCUGGAUAAGUAGAUGUUGUGGUGACUUGCAGGUCAAGUUACUGACACAAAAAAAAUAUGGGAAGCAAUAAAAGAUUACACAACCGUAAGAUCAAAGGAAUAGCACAAAGCUAGCCUAACUUUCUUCACUGAUAUUGAAGAAAGUAUCUUCGAAGAGAAAUCUCAUCAAUUAAAAGUGAAGUAGGAAAACAGAUGUAUGUACUAAAUAGAAAUUUGAUGUCACCAUUUGCUUCGAUAGGACAUUACAAGGAGCAAUAUGGAGAACAAAUAAACACAUAACAGGGUCUGUUAAAUAACUUAUUUUUACUUCAAGCGAUUAGUGCAAGUAAUGCUAUAUGUUCAACUGUUGACUUUCAUCUACACUUUAUCAGCUAUAUUCUACUCCAACAUUACAUGCAAACAGAUCAAGAAUUGGUGUUUGACUAAAGACAAGAUUCUAAUCCAGACGGCGAUUGAGAAGUUCAAAUCAUUUGCCAAUUUUGAAUAUUAAUUAGAACUCUUUUGCAUCUCAUAAAAACCCUGCAUGAUCUUUCUCGACUACAAAUUAAUUAGCUGAAAGUAACAGGUAAUAUGGUGAUUCCUCUUGUCAGCAAAAAAAAAAAAAAAAAUUCAAGCUGGCCAUAAAAUCUUUUUUUAUUAUUCAUUGAAGACUUACGGCAGCACCAAACAAAAAUAAUGAGUUUGCACCAAUAUUGAGUAGGCUCCCAAAUUUCUUUUUGUGCUUAAAUAUAUCUAGCACAAGUAAGUUUCUUUCUCCACAUUUUUCAGAUGCAUCAGGUUGUAGUAAGAACCAAAUUAUCGGCACAAUUAACAUAAAACUACCAUAAUUAAAUUCUUCAUGUCAAACCCUCAAUUCACAUAAUUUGCUUCUAUUGUUGAAUACCAUGCAAAGCAGCAAAUUAAAUAUUUUGGAGCAACAUAUUGACAAAGGAAGACUUGCAUACCUCACUUCAGGGUUGAUGCAGAUGUUCCGUAUCAGCUGCAUGCCACAGAUGCCAACAGCUGUGCCGACAGCCGCAAAGAGAGGAAAAACCUGCACACAUUGUUAAAGAAUCAAUCUAUGAAUAUGAAUGAUAAUGUAUGAAUACAAAGCAAUUUGUAGCAUUUAAACCCAUAUAUAAUUUAUCUCAAAGGUCGUAUAUAAACCCUUUUAAUGAUACCAAUUUUCGGAAUUAUUAUUAUCAACAGUUAAUAGUCUUCAAAUACCAAAAGAAACAUAAUAUAUUAACAAGAAGAACAAAGUCAUAUAACAAUAACAAUAACAAAGCCGCAAGUCCUAAUUAUUUGGGGAUCUUUUAUCGUCGUUGAAAUCUUUUUGUCCCAACUAUUCAAAUCACAUCCAAACUAUAAAUAAAUCGUCAGUGUGAAUUCCUUCAACCACAAUGAAAAAGAGAUCUGUGGAUAGUAAUGUUACUUUAACAGGAAACCUAUUGCACAAUCGCAACUAUGGCAUAAAAGAUUCAAAGAUUAACAACGAACACAGAUUUAAAAACAUGAAAAGUAGAAAAGAAGAAUAGAAGUUAGAGAAUACGAUGAAAUCUAACAUUAGUGAAGUAUUGAAAGAGGAUACAGAAAUGAAGAUUCGACAAAGAAAUCUAACUUUAUCAGAACCAUCUCAUACGAGAAGUAUGGAAAGAGGAGGAUAGAGUAGCAUUACCUCAGGCCUCACCCAUCUGGAGGAAACCAUCGGAGAGCUGCCGGAAAGGAGAGAGGUCGGCGAAGGGCAGAGGAAAGGCAAAGAAGCUUUCUCUCCAAUAUUUCGGAGGGUGGGACAGAGGAAGAGACGGGCAAGAAACGAUGUUCCGUAAAGUCCUCUCUUUCUCAAUAUAUAGUAGCGGUCAACCGACAUUGACACGUGGUCAAGAAAAGCGGCGUGUAAUCACGCGAUUAGAUUUUGGUCAACUCUAGCAGACGUGAUCAAUCUUGCGAUCUCCCGAAUCUUGUGGAUUCCAAGUUUCUAGGAGCGGCGGGAAAAAACGCGGCUUUGGACUUGAUAAUGCAUGUUAGGUGGCUGUGCCGAUCUCGUGAUUCAUCCAAGAAAUUUUUUUAUCCCAAAUUUCAGAAAAAAAAUAAUAAUAAAGUCAUAGGUUUUUAGAUGAUUAGAUGAACAUUUCAAGAAAGAGAAGAAAAAGAAUCCCAAUCAUACCAGAAUUCUUGAAAGAGAAAAGAAGUCCUUUUUUUAAUUUGUAUUUCCUUUCCUACUCAGACACGGAAAUCGAAGCGAAUGGCAUCUUUUAGAACAUUGCCAAGUCUUUGUGGAAUUUGUUAAUGUCACCUAUCAAAGCAGAGAUUUGUAAGAAUAUUUGUUGGUUUUCUAACAAUCUGGAAAAGAAGAAGAAGAAGAAGAACAUAAAUUUACUUAGAAGUCAAAGCAUCUGCAAUGAUGAAUUAAAACGUAGUUUAGGUGCGUUUAAGAAUGCAUUCAUCGAUCACCAGAGGGUAGAAAAAGAAAAGAAUGUCCACCAAUAUUACAUUUUUGAUCAAACAGGUCUAUAUGGAUACAAUGCACAGUAGAAUGGUCAUACACAAUGAUCGAACUUGUAUACAUCACAGCAUGAAUGGAAUUUUAUCCAUGUCUUGUGGAAAUACCACGCACACAUCAAUCAUUAUACUAACUGUGGGUUAAAUGCCCAUAUAUGAUUAGCCAAUGAUGCUUCUCUCCAUUCCUAUAAUGAUCAGAAAGCACAGCUUGAUGAUGUCAGUUGUCGUCGAUCAAUUUGUUUAUGAUUUCUGAUUGCCAUGCACCACCAGCAAAUCUGUUGAUUAAUUGAGCCACGAUAGCUACCACAGACCCCAGGGCAGCACCAGCGAUGACCUAAGAAAAUGCAAGAGAAAGAUUAGGAGACAGGAUGCUGAACAUAAUAACCCAAGGUAUCUUUCAUGCACAAGCAUGGUUGAGAGUUUAGCUAGGAUUACUAUAUCUAAUGGUUAAGCUACUACCAGGACUUUGCCGUUAAGCUGGCCCAAUUAUCCCAACUCCGAGGAAAGAAAUCAGUCUAACCAUCCAAUUUUUGGUUUAAAUUGAGGUGCUAAUGAUGAAGUUCGUUGUCCUGACACUAUCGAUAUGAAGAAUCUAUAGGUACUUAUACAAACAGUAGGGCAUUAAUGAUCCUUUGUUAAGAAUAGGAAACAAUUCAUCCCCACAUAUGUUUAAAGUAGAACACCAUAUGAACUACUUUUCAUGAUCGUAGGUGGGAAUUAUGGUGGCCAGAAAAUUCUCAGAUACGAAAUGGCGGCUUACAUGUUUUUUUUUUUUUUUGGAUUUAUAGAGAUGUGCACAUAUGCAUAUGCAAGAGAACAAGAUGUACCAGGUUGCAUCAUGGUAGUUACCACUACCCUUUACAAGAUUACAGCAUCGUAUCAAACCUGAAUAGGAGUAUGGCCAAGAAGUUCAUGUAGUGGUCGAGUAACAGACAGAGGAUGCUCUUCUGGAAGUUCAUACAUAAUUUGAUUUAACACCUGGCAUAUCAGAAGAAAUAAAUGCUGUUAAUGAAAUGAAGUGUUUGAAUUAUAAAACAACCUAUCAUACCAUAGAACCCAUCAGCCUAUUUCAGGUAUCGUCUCAUAAAUGCAUCACUUAUAAGAUGGCAAGUUAGGAAUGGGUGAUGGUCUAAAAGGAAGCUGGUUGUAAUAAAAGUUUCACAAAACAUAGCUCAAUAAGAUACAAGGACCAUCGUUGAGUUCUCAAGUUUCAGGAACAAUACAUCAAGUCUGAUAACUAAUCAGUCAUUCCUCUUGUGACAUGAUUGAAUAAAGAUCAGUAAAACCAAAAUUACCUAGUUAGUGGGCUGAAUCCAAAAAAAGUCAGCAGUCAAUUGACAUAAGUAGCUUGACCCAAGCAUAGAAAACUAAUGUGCACACCUGCCUCAGUCCAUGCAGAAAAUUCUUUUCAUGGGAUUUGACAUGUAUGACACUUUUUUAUCAACACAAUUAAUGAAUGUAGCUUGGAAGACUAUGACUACGGACACUCUUCUGGAAGUUCAUAUAUGACUUGAUGGUAAGAUGAAUAUUUGACCAGAUAUGAACAUUUAUGUAUCAGAUAAUGACUAUGAGACCAUGAAUUUUCAAUUACUAAUUUUUGUCAUGGAUUUAAGUAGUACCCAUUGAUCCACAUGCUACUAAGUAGCAACUUGCGAUGACUGUCAAAGUAAUUACCAGCUAGGUUAUCCAGCACCUUCAAACACAUGUUACUUACAUGUAUGUUCAAAGAUUUAACGUCUUUUAAUAAAUAUUUUCUUCAUCCAUUUAUUCAAUCAUCUACUUAAGAAUUCAACUUAAAGUAUCCAGCCUGCUGCUUCUCUAUUAGGAAGCCAGAACCAUCAUUCAUGUUCUCAAGCUUGAUUAGGAUAUGCACAGUAUCUGAAAUUGCCACAUAAAACAUCACAACGACUUGUACAUUUAUAUUUACAGAAAAUCAACAAACAAUCACCUAUAUAUUCACUCUUAUGUUUAUAUGAAACAGUAUCUUGGCUAAUGUGAUAUACUUUAAACUUAAAUGGCAACUGGCCCAGCUUGGCGCCUGAUACAAAGAUCUCUUUCUUGUUCUGUAUAGGAGUGUACUAUGUGUUCACAAAUUCACACAUAAGUUGAUGUCACAUAACCCAGCAUGCAAAGAAUUACACCGUUGAGACCAUAUUGUCUCUAACACUUGUGUAGCAGCAAGAAAUUACUGAAUACAUGAAAUUUUUUUAAAGUUAUGAUAUUACAAUAUACCUCUGCCUGCUUUCCAGCAUGCAGUCGAACACCAAAAGCAUCACACAUCACCUGCAAAAUAGUGGAACACCCAAAAUCUCAUAACCAAGUAAAAUCAAGCUGCAGGACAAGCAAAAAACACUGCUUUUAAUCAAUUAUAAAGUGUGUCACCUAGCUGUUUAAUUGAAUCCCUGGACUUGACAAAUAAGUCUCUGAAUAAAAAAACUUCACCAAAGUUCAUGAAAAUUUUAUCAACUAAAUCAUACAAAUCCUAGGGGUACGAUUUAUGAGAUGGUGAAUAGGAAGGUAGCUGACUACUUCUGUUAUCAAAGCAUAAUAAGAGUUAUGGUGAACAAUACAUCAAAGUAUAAUUUUUAUUUUCCAUUAUCGUUAGUUGGUUUAAAUUCCAAUAUCGAUAUCUUGUUAUUCACUACCUCUUGUUUAGGCUUGCACAACCAAUAUCUAAGCCCCUAAAAUGCCAUAUUUUAAUGCCUGCAAGCAACAGAAUGAUGUUUCCCGAAGACACCCAACAUGGUUCCAGAAUCAACUAAAGAUGGUGUCACAUAAAAUUGCAUAGUGAUAAAAGAUCAACAAAAUUGUAUGGAUUUAAGAUAUAGAAGAAAUACAUGGCCCUAUACACAUUGUCAACUCGCAUAUGGAUACAACAACAAAGAAGCUUAACAUAUUCUAAAUAUAUAUGAGCUUUGUAGAAAUUUUAAUUCAUUUUUACAAUGAAUCUAACAGAGAAGCAACAUAACACUUUUCAUAAUGAAAACUGUAAGAAACAUAAGUCGGCCUUACCACAAAUGCUAAUAUCGCCGCUGUAGCAAAAGCAGAACUGUCCAACCCAUCUUGAAUUCCAAUAGCUAGUGCUAGUGCAGUCACUGUGGCUGAAUGGGAUGAUGGCAUCCCACCAGAUCCAAUAAGCUGCUUGGCAUCCCAGUGUCUUUCCUUGUACCUGUAAAUCUACCAAAAACUAUUAACUCUUUGGACAAAAAGGCUUCACUAUCUCAUGAUCUAAUUUUACAAGUUCAUACAAAUUGACAACAAAAAUCUCAUAUGCGGAUAAAAUAUAAACCAAUAACAAUGAUGGCACAUUAGCAACUCAAAGUGGUCAUAUAAAUACAGCUGAAUGACCCUAUUGUUUUAGAAUACAUAUGCAACAAAAUCUUAGGUGCAUGAAAAGGAAAAAAAAAUUAUAUUUAAGCAUUAGCAUGGAAAGAGUACAUUUUGUACACAAAAGAAAGUAUUGAAUAUUGUGGGCAGCUAAAUUUAAAAUCUAAAAUUAUAUAGUGUGUUCGCGAUAAAUAGUUUGAAAAUGUGAUGCCUUACUCUAGGGAAUCACAAUUGCAACCUUAUAAGGAAAAUUCUUUGGUGAAUUAUCCAUCACUAAUAAUGAUUAAAAAUAGCAAGUUUGAUAUGGCUGCGCAUAUUAACACUCGCUACACUUCACAUUAGCGGGACCCUCAUGCAUCGAAUCAUUCAGGAUCAAGGAAAGACUAUUAGAUACAAUUCUAAUCAUCGUCAGAGUGCUCCUGGAGAUCCUUUUCUUUUCAAGAUCCAAGAUUUCUUGAACAAGGGUGCAAGAUUUCCAGAUCAAGGAAACAAAAUCCGGAAAAGCACUUCUUUUUCCCCUACUACAACACCAGAGUAUGAGACCCCCAAAUCCCAAACCAAGAACGGUCAAGAUCCAAGAUUUCUUGAACGGAACAUGCAGGAUUUCCAGAUCAAGGAAACAAGAACGCUCACAAAAGCGAAAAAAAACUCCAAAUAACUCGACGGAAGUCUCAAUUCUCGAUGGAUGAACAGAGAUCUCAACCCCAGAGUGAACAAGGCAGCUGGAGAUGCAGGCUUACCAGGUGGUGAAGAACUUGAUUGAUUGGGCGAUGGCGAAGGCCAGGACGGCCGAGAUCAGCGGGUAACUGUGGAAGACGGAGGAGUGCGCGAUCGAGGACGAGGGCGACGGCGAAGAAGAGCUCCCCAAUUCGCCCAUCUCUCUCAUGGCUGAGGCAUGGCAGGGCGAGAGAGAGAGGGGGGGGGGGGGGGGCGAAGAAGCACGUCUCCAGGACUAUGCCGCCAUGGAAAUGGUUUCGUUCACGUCUGGACAUGGAGAGGUACGAACUACAGUCUCAUUCAUACACCUAGACAUACCUUCUCUGUGAUUGGAUUUAAAAAAUGGGGCCCCGCUUGAUCCGAAUCGAGUGCCACCUCUGCGCGAACGAAAAGAGAGGUAGACGGUGCGGGUUCGUCAGAAAUAUGUGGAAGAAGUAUUUUAUUGUUCUUCUUUAAUCAUUAUUGGGAUCUUAUGUUUGUCACCUCUGUUCAUCUUUGCAUGCCAAUUAGAGCCCAUGUGGGUUGUCUCAUGAGUGCUGUUUGGAUAUAAUGAUUUGAUUUGAUUUUGUUUUGUUUAUUUGCCAAUAUGUGAUUCUAAAAGCAUUCAAUAGUUCAUAUAUAUGAUUAAAAAUUUUAAUGAUGCAGUAAUAGGACUAAUUAAUUCAAUGAAAGUGUGUAAAAAUACUUCCAUUUCUCUUAGGAAAAAUAAAAAAAAAAAUAUUAGGCAAGUAAUAGUUUUGGAUGAUUCCAGUAUUUGCUCUUUGGUGUUCUAUGCAUACCUUUAAGCCUUUCAUUGAUUGAUUCCAGUUGUAUUUGUUUGGGUUUCAAAGGGGUUUCACUGUGUAGUGCAGCAACAACAUGAUCUUGACCCAAUUUUGUUUUGGGUCUCUCUUUCUUUGAAUCAAUCAUCCACUUUUGCUGUCCUCCUACAUGUGAAGAAGCUUCAUUCCUCUGUGAGGUUGAUGGAGAAAGCUAUGCCCACCUGUGGAGAAGUCAGUGGAGUUCAUAGUGGCCAUGGAUUGGAGGUGUUAAGACCUUUGCAUAUGCAAUAUAAUUACUGCCUUAGCAGAACAUAAUAGUUUCUAUAUGGUGGCUGCAGAUGGAACUUAACAAUUCACUUCAUGCAAUAUCUGUCUUAGAGGAAUCCUUCACAUCUUUAUCUUGCUUGCUGUUCCUUUUACAGGGAAGGAAAAGCUCAGAAUUCUGCCAUGGUGACAAAGCAGAGCAAUGCUGAAGUAUUUAGGACCUUCAUUCACUGUCAACAAGCUAAUUUUGAUCAAUCAGAUCAGAUACAUAAAUAUAAUUUUCAGUUACAUCAAUUUUGCCUAACUAGAAAAUUUUAUAGUUUUUGCUAAACAUCAAUACCAUUAUAAACGAUAAGGGUAAAAUUAUCCAUCCCGUAGAAACUCGACACGGGGCAUGAAUCUAUUGAAUUGUCACAUGAAACUAUUUUUAGAUAAAGAAUAAUUUAGAAAAUAUCCUCUAAUUGUAAACGGUUAGGGACCCUCGACUAUAAAUAUAUGAUUACUCAAUAAUUAUCUUAAUUUUUUUUUCUCACUCUCUUUAUUCUUCAUACUGGGAAAUCAAAUAGCUUAUGUAUCCGAAGUAUCAAGUCCGAGUCUUACUACGAUGAUCUUGUAUUGUAGAAAUGAAGGCUUACGAGACUAAAGCCGACUAACUAUCCUUCUAUUAUCAUCCCUUGAUGUAAAUUAUUGAUGCAUUCUGUUGUUUCACUGAGAUGGAACAAGUAUCAGGUUUUCCUUAGAUCAUGUCUAAGCAGAAGAAUUCAAAUGAGCUGAUCUUAUGGAACAACUCAAAUCAGUGGCUGAUGACAGCCAAACAGGUUGCAGACUCUUCAUACUGUUUUGUGAUGAAUGUAGCACUUCAUAUGUCACCCCCACCCCCCCCCCCCCCUUCCCCCACAUUUGAUGUCACCACAGUCCACCAACAAAUAGUCAAUUCAUUCCCUUGACCUUUCGCAAAGGCCACCUAUCAGUGUCUCAUCUCAUGUCAACCAGCAAUCUUUGCUGACAAGAACAUCCCCUGUCUGAGUUUUACAGUUACCAGUCAACCAUGUAAGUUUCCUGAUCUCAAGAUUUGCCACCAUCUUCCUUGUAGCUUCAAUCUUGGUACAUGAACUAGCUCAUCCUGGUUUAUGAUAAUCUUGUCAGGAUCUGCAAGAGGACCCGAUCCAUUCAUGCCUGGAUUUUUUUGGCACUCUUAUCAAUCCACCAAUUGAUCAUUCAUGUAGGACCACAGUCCUUCCCAUCUUGUUUCAGACAUUAAAAUGUAAGCAGACAGUCCCACCAUGAUUCUUCAUGGUGCAGAAACCCUAUUUCUUUUGAGCAUGGUCCUUCGAUUAGAGCUAGGUGUAGGCUCUCCUUAUUCAAGUUCUAUCCAAUGGAUCACAUGAAAACAAAGUGAAUUCUUGUCUGAAUGGUGCAUGUCAGAGUGUCUGCAUGUUGUGCUAGAGGAAGUCUUCUUCCUUGUCUCCUGCCAGCUCAAUACCCUCACAAAAUGGGCAUCAGAUGUGGUGAAGCUACUGCAUGUGAUGGAGUUGUUUGCAUCAGCUGCUGAGAUGGCUGUCAAGCUAAAGAACAUUUCUUCCUUUCUACAGGCCAUGUGAGUUUGGCCAUUUGCAGUUUUCUUAGUAGCUUUUGAAUAGUGUUCCUAAGUAUCUUUAUUUUUCAUUUGCUGGUGGAAAAAGACAGUUAUAUUUUACUGCAGACACUGUUCAUGCAGCAGAAAGUCUGUCAAUAGAAAAGUUAUGAAGAGUGCUUUUAAUAUUAUUUAUUCCAUUGCAAUUUUUCAUGCUUUAUUUGAUCAAAACACACAUCAUGAGACUGAGAUAGGUAUAAGAAGGUAAGAAGUAAUCAACUAAAGUGCUAAAGCAAUCAUCAAAUAUUUCAUUUGUUAUAAUAUUUCGAUUAGUCUUACGUCGAAAAUAAGUAAAAUUAAUAUGAUGGAUAUAUUACUAUUAAUUUUUAUUAAAUAUUUUAAUUAAUAAUUUAAAUUUUGAUAGAUGAAUUAUCUCAUUGGAUUGAGACAUUUGGAUGCUCAACCACUAGUCAAAGAACAAGAGGACUAACAAAUCAAAUAAAAUCCAUGUCUUCUCUUCAAUCAUUCUUCUCAGACUCACCUCACAAGCCUCCAAACCAAAGCCUACCAUCUUAAUCAUGUCUGGAAGAACCAAAGGAAAAGGUAAAAGAUAAAGAAAAAAGAACUCUUCGCUGCUGUCCUCUUUCAAUCAUUCUUCCUGGUGGAGGACUUCCCUCCAAAGCCUCACCUCACAUGACUCCAAACACAUCCAACCAUCUGCUCCUACUGUUUGCAUGGGCCUUUGCAGCAGAAAGGAGAGGAGGAGAACUGAAUGCAUGAUGCCUUCCAAUCUGCCAUCUCAAGGCAGCUGUUUGGGAGGAGUGGCAUGCAUGAUUCCUACAAAUCUGCCAUCUCAUGGCAGCUGUUUGAAAGAGUGGCUCAUUGUCAUCAUCCCCCAUUCUUCAAGCUGACUAAACUACUCUUUUAUUGCAUUGCAAUCACAUAGAUACAGGAUAAAGGAGGAUGGGCAGCCCUGUACUUUUUGACUUGGCUCCUCCUUUUUAGGUCUAUUGUGCAGCACUGGAUGAUGGUUUGUCUUUGGGAUGACACUCUUAUCCUCUGGUAUUUGGUUCUGUCACUUUGAGAGAAGAAGUUUUUGACUGCUAUUCUACAACUCAGCAGGGCAGUGCUAUCUCAACAUCAGUCAACAGUGCUGUUUCUCAAGUACUAUUUUUAUACAGAUGUCAUGUAACCAUUCAUUUAUUGGAAUGCAAUUUAAAUUGGUAGAUGAUGGUGCAGAAUUGCCUUUUAGCAAAUCAUAUCUACAAUUGAUGGGACUUUCUUUUUAUUGGUCAUAACAAAAGCAUUAAAAGAAACUAAGCCCUACUUUGAUUCUGACAUAUAACAACAAAUUCAGACAAACUUUGCAGUCCAUCAAUUGCAACACUGUCUUGAUUUGAGAACAGUAACUUAUAGAUGAGAUCAAGCUAGUGGGUAAAAGAUGAUUAAUAAGCUAAAUUACAAUAAAAAAAAGUAAAACAAAAAAAAUGGAUGGUUAAUAACAAAAUCAUAUGAUCAAAUCUCAUCUUAAUCUUUAAUAUUUAUUUUAAUAUAAAGCUUUAUAAAUAUCAAUUAGCUUAACCUACAAAAUGAUAACUUUCAAAUAAGAUGAUUACUGAGGUAAAUUACAAGCAUAUAAAUAGUAAAAUUAUUUUAUAUUUUAGACUAGUCUAACUGAUGAAAAUUCAUAUUCCAUAUUUAUCUUUUUAAAAAUAAAUUCUCUGUCUGUCUUAAAUUUGUUUAAUAAAAUACAUCUAAUGGAUAAAGAUCUUUAUCAUUGAUAAUAGAAUCAUACAAUCAGAUCACAUUUAUAUCUAAAAUUAUUUCUUUUUCCCCAUACUGAUGGGAAAACAAAGAACAUUAGCUUCAAAAUUGAAAUCAAUGGUCCUUUGGGUCUUACCUUGGAAUCAAAACCUCAUCAGAUUCAAUUCACUGUUUUAUGCUCCCAAUGCCGACAAAAAGCCUAGUUAAAUAGCCACUAAGCUCAAGCUUCGCUAUCUUCCAACUUGCAGUAUUCAUUGGCGACUUCUCACUGGUAAGAGUGGAAAUGGAGUGUGAGAACUGCUACUCCAAUGCCUAUCCAUCCAAAGCUGCGUGAUCUAUCCCAAGAGACCACACUUCCCUCUACUCUUCGAUCUUCUCCCUCUGUUCUCUGUUCUCUCUGGCUGUGGUCUCUGCUGAGCUCUGCCAUCACUGCUGCUGCUGCUGAUACCGCCCUCCAUUAAUGUUCAGAGACGGUUGCCUCUCGUCUCAGGCGACGCCCAUGUGCUCUCUUUAAUUCGCGCCUUGCCCUUUCCAAAGAUUCCAAGUCGGGGUCGGUCUGCAGUCAGUAUUCUUGGAGCAAGGUUGCUCCUUGAGGGGGAGGAUUAAGAGGAGGUGAAAGAUUCGCGUACUUUCUUUGGUUUCGCCGCCGCCUCCUUGGUGGGUUUUGCUCAGGUUGCUUCCGGAGCUGAAAUUUUGGCCUAAAAAUCACUUCUUGGUGGAUGUCGGUGCGGAAUUCUUGACGUUCCUCUUCGUCUUGGUUUUUGGUUCGUGAGUUGGAAACAGACGAAUACGCUGGAUUUGGUCGAAAAGUUCGGAUCUUUGGGUGAAUUUAAAGCUGUUUAUUGGAAUUGAAGGCAGGAUUUGGGUGCGUUUCUGGUAAUAUCUCAAGCUGUCGUCGUCUUGUUGGUCAUUAUUCUGUGGUCUGAUGCAGGUUAGAGGAAGCAAAGGGUGUCAACGUUGCUGCAAAGUUGCAGUUCUUUCAGUGGAAAGAAAUCUUUUUUCUUGGAUUUAAACAAGGAAUUUAGAAGCUCUGUGGCAAGGAAAGACUCUGCUUCCCCCUUAACCAUAGGUUCCGUCCAAAAUGGCACCCUCUUUUGUGUUCCCAGCAGUCAUCUUGUGUUGCUUGUUAGUGUUCCCUCUAACCGAGCAAAUGCAAACGACGCACACCCAGUUGUUGCUGCAGCUGAGGAAGCAGCUGGAGUUCCCAAAACUGCUGGAUGCUUGGAAUAACACUGAUAACCUGUGCUACUCGCCGUCUUCGCCGAAUCUAAGCAUCAGCUGCGAUGGAACCUCCGUCACAGAGCUCAAGAUAGUGGGCGAUAAGCUUGCAAAGCCUGGUAAAUAUGAUGGUUACUCGAUCCCUGACAUGACUCUUUCAUCGGGCUUCGUUGUUGAUUCUUUUGUGACAACUCUGGCUAGGUUGACUACCUUGAGAGUAGUCAUCUUGGUUUCUUUGGGGAUAUGGGGUCCUCUCCCGGACAAGAUCCAUAGAAUGUAUUCGCUUGAAGUGCUCGAUCUGAGCUCUAACUUUCUGUAUGGUACUGUCCCUCCAAAGAUAUCUGUCAUGACGAAGCUUCAAACAUUUUCCCUCGAUGGAAACUACUUCAAUGAUACUGUUCCUGAUUGGUUUGAAUCAUUGACGAACCUCUCGGUUUUGAGCUUGCAGAAUAACAGCCUGAAGGGUCUGAUGCCAGCAUCGAUUGGUAGAGUAAGAACACUAACUGAACUUGCUUUGUCGGGCAAUCACAUUUCAGGUAAAAUCCCUGAUCUAAGUAGACUAAACAGCCUCGAGAUGUUGGACCUGAGAGACAACAUGUUGGACUCUGAGCUGCCAGUAAUGCCGAAAGGGCUGGUCACCAUCUUGCUUAGCAAGAACUCACUGGCUGGUGAGAUUCCACAGCAGUUUGGGGAAUUGGAUCGACUCCAACACCUUGACCUAUCAUUUAACCUACUCGAGGGGACUCCACCUGCAGCAUUAUUUGCUUUGCCAAACAUCAGCUAUUUGAACCUGGCAUCCAAUAUGCUUAGUGGAUCACUUCCAAGUAGUUUAGCUUGCAGCAGUCAACUUGGGUUCGUUGACAUUUCUACUAACAGACUCUCUGGUGAAUUACCUUCUUGUCUUAGCUCAAAUUUGAAUAAGAGGGUUGUAAAGUUCAAUUGGAAUUGCUUGUCUUCUGACCCCCAGCAUCAGCACGUGUCUAAAUUCUGCCAAGUGAAUCACAUGGAUGAGAAAGAUUCCAAGAGGAAGAACGUACCCUUGUUGGUUGCUGUCAUAGGAGGAAUUCUCUUAAUUAUGCUAUUGCUUCUGUUAGUUCUUUUUGUUUCUUGUAGAAGGAACUGUCGCCGAGCAAUAGCAGAACAACGACUAUUGCCAAAGUCAGCACCAGAUAAUUCACCCACAGGAAUCUCGUCUGAGCUUCUUGCUAAUGCAAGUAAGUAAUCUUCUUCCAGUUUUUCAGCUUUUCUAAUCAGGAUAUCCAUCGUGUUGCAUCCAGACUUUGGAGAGCCUUCAUGCUUGACAAAAGAUGUUGCGGUUUCUUCUCUGCCUUUCUUAAGGCAUUCACUGUACAUACAAUUCACUGUCUUUAUAUAUUGCUCAUAUAUGUUAGUAAAGACAGAAAAGAAAUAUUGUCUGGAUGAUUCAGAACAUGAUGGUAAAUGUUUUUUUGUCCAUCUUUCUCUCCAGCUGAGAGGUACUAGUAGUAGCUAGGUCUUAAUUUUCCAGCACAUAUGCAUUCCGAUAAAUUGUUGGUUUACUCUUCCCGACUGAUAGGAUUGUCAGGGGGUUCAUGCUAAUACGUACAAUCUUUGUGUCAAUUGAAAACAGUUUCAAAUUGCCCUCAGGACGACCUGGAACCAUAAAAAUAAAGUGGCAGACCAGGGCAGCACUCAAAUCACUAGUAGUGAUGAAGAAGAAUGAUGCCCUAAACAGACCUUUUUAUUCACCUGCCUGAGUUUGUGUCAAGUUUUCAAAUAUAAGUUUGUAUAGUAUAGGCAUAAACUAUUAGAAAAACUACAUGCUAAAAGCACUGGAAACACUACUCGCUAUAAGCUUAUGAUAUUUUUCCCUCAUUCUCCUAAUGCCCUUAGGAGAAUAGUUUUUUCUCUAUCUAGGAGCCUGUUCAUAGCCUGUGCUUUCAUGAUUUAGCAUUUUUUCGUUUAAAAAUUUUAUUACAUCUAAUAAUGCCUGGCUUGUAAAUUAUGUCAUUUCUGAAGUAAACUAACACAGUAUGGAAAAUUUUGGGAGAUUCAAUCAUUUAUUUCUUCUUCUUUUCAGGGUAUAUUUCUCAAACAAGGAAGCUAGGAACACAAGUGUUGCCUAUGUAUCGGGCAUUUUCCUUAGAAGAGUUAAAAGAAGCAACAAAUAAUUUUGAGCAGUCAGCAUAUAUAGGCGAAGGUUCAACUGGCAAGGUGCUUACUGAAAUUCAAAAUUUUAACUCUUGCACUGAAAAAAAAAGAAGCCAUUUAUGCAUCAAUAAAUUUCAUACAAGUUCAAUCAAAACCCAAGAAAAGACAAUAAGAAGUGAGUCUAAAUGUGAAAGAACAUUUGGUAUGUAGAUCAGUAAUUUUUUUCCUUUUUGCAGGUUUAGAUAAAAUAUUUAAAAAGGCUAUUCGUCACUUGAUAACAUUGCUUCUCAAUUAAAUGCUGAGGCUUAGAUGCUACUUGUUUUCUGUUUGGUCAUUUUGUGCUGACACCUUUUAGGUAGAAAAUUGAAAUUUCCUUAUUCUUAUGUGGAACAAAGCAUGUUUAGUCAUUGAAUUUUUUACAUAAGACUUAGAAUGUCAAUAUAAAAAAAAAGAGGCAGAAACAAAGAAAAACAGGUGUAAUCAGAUUUCUUUCUCAUUUUGUGCUACCUGCUUGCUGUUUGGUAUAUUUCAAAAACAUAUCCUUUUAAUUUGUUAAAGUUGUUGUUUAAAGAGAAGAAAUAUGAGGAGAGUAAGAUCAAAGAUAGAAAGAAGUUUCUACUUUUAUCCUUUUAAUUUUUAAAAAUAGGAAGCCCUUGAAUCAGUCAGUUAAACAUAAGAAAUCCAACUGAUCCUCCAGUUUCCUUUCUUUUCAUAUUGAAACUCCUCAAAUACAGAGUAAGCUACAAUUCAAUAGUACCCUUGAAUAGCUACAUGUAAUAUUCCAGCCUCAAGUUUUUAUUAUGUAUCAACUGGGACUCUUUUUUCUUAGGGUAGUUCCAAGUAGGAUUCAAUCACUACAGAAAACCAUGAACCAUUUAUAACAAAUGCCAAAAUUCAGGCUCUUUCAGUUGUCAAAAACCAAAAUUAAACUCUUAAAGUUUAAUUGGAGUUUAUUUCAUGUGUCAUGUUAAGUUCACUUUUGUCUAAUACUGGUUUUCUAAAUCAAUGAAAUCUUUUAUUGCCUCUCCUCUAUCAAUCACCUUUAGAGAUGAUUUGCUCUCUAUGACCGAUCAUCACAUCAUUUAACUUUCUUCCAUGCACCCAUUCGUUUGAAGGAAGAAGAUAAGAAAGAUAAGGAAUUCCCUAUGAAGGGAAGCUAAAAUUUAAGGGGAGCAAAAUAUUUGAUCCAUGGACCAAUUAAAAUGUUGUCUUAGUCAAUCCAUAAAUUUUACUGGAGGCACUCAAAUUUAUUUUCUUAUCUUGUGCUGCUUGAUUCCCAGCUUGGGAUAGAUCACUCUGGUAAACGAGGUUAUUUACAGUAAGUUAUUAUUGAGGCAAUAAACAUCUGGCUCCUGACAUGAAAUAUAUGUGAUUCUGUUGUAUUCAUUGGUAAACUUGUCACUAGUUGUUAGUGUUAUAUGUAUAGUUUUAGCCUUUUACUAAUCUUCUUGCCCUAGGAAGAAUUGUACAAAUUUAAACCUCAAAGAUGUUUAAGAAAAAACUUAUAUUUUGGUUGCUUGGAUUUCUCACUUUUCCCUGCUCCCAAGCAUUAGCCUUGUUCCUCAAUUUGCCUAUGGAUUUAGAAAAUUGAUAUGAAUACCCUGAUUUAUAUAUUCUCUUAUAAGGUUUUUGGAUCUUCUAGUGUGCAGCAUGAAACAUGCAGUUCCUGUUUGCAAUUAUUAAUCAAAAAUUAAAAGUGGUUUUCUAUGCUACUACCAGAAGCAAUUUUCAUUGAAAUGUGAUUCGGUACAAUUACAAAAAAUAAAUACCAUUUUAUGGUUCAAGUUAUUUUGAAGUAUGCUUAGUUUUUAGUUCUCGAGUCUCAUUCAGAAAGGAAGCUAAUAAUAGUGUGAAAUUAUGUAUACCACUUUCUUUUAAAAAUACCACUUUGUAUAUUGCUCACAGUACUUCUGAGUUUUCUUUUUUUUUUUCUUUCAGCUGUACAAGGGCAGAAUAGAAAAUGGAACCUUUGUAGCUAUAAGAUGCUUGGCAUUGUUCAAGCGAUAUUCUAUUAGAAAUCUGAAGCUUCGUCUAGAUCUACUCUCAAAACUUCGCCAUCCCCAUUUGGUCUGCCUCUUGGGGCACUGCAUUGAUACUGCACAAGAUGAUUCUAAUGUCAACAGAGUCUUCCUUAUCUACGAAUAUGUAGCUAAUGGAAAUCUUCGUACUCAUCUUUCUGGUAAAAAUGCUCCUUACAGUGUUAAUGUUUUUCAUGCCUUGGACUUUUUAACGGUUUGGUUUACAUGCACUUUUUUCUGCAGAAUGCAGACUGGAGAGAGCUCUUAAGUGGCCAGAUAGAUUGGCAAUUUUAAUAGGCAUUGCAAAAGCAGUCCACUUUUUACAUACCGGUACUAUUCCUGGUUUCUACAAUAAUCAAUUGAAAACAAGCAAUAUUUUGCUUGACGAGCAUUUGACCGCAAAAGUGAGUGACUAUGGUUUGUCCAUUAUAACGGAAGAAAUUUACAAACAUGAGGUUUGUAUUAAGGUUAACAGAGUGAAAAUAUAUGCACUUCUUUUCGAGCUAUGAUUUUGAUAAUAUUUCAAAUAUUUGAUGUGUUGAUGCUAAUGAGAAUCUCCUGCUGCAGGCAAGGGCAGAAGGUCACAAACAGAGCAGAUCUCUAUCAUUGUGAGUAAUGCUUUUUCCCAUCCUUAUUGAACAGCUAAUUUCUGUUUUGUUUUCUUUUUACAUGAACCAAGAAUCAGCCAAGUAAAAAACCAUGUUAAGAUAGAUCAGACCGAUCAACUAUAAAAGAUCACAUUUACUAAUAUUUCCAUGUAUAACAUUGCCUUUGUAGGGAGAUGGUAAACUUGGAGGAUGAUGUUUAUUCAUUUGGCCUCGUCUUACUUGAAGCACUAAUGGGACCAGCACUAUCCGAACAAGGUGCCGAUCAUUGUACAAAAGAACUGGUGAGAUCAAUUUCCUGUUCAUGAUUGCUACAGUAACAAACAUAUUAAUCAAGAUAAGCACAGUGAAAGUGGAAACUAUGCACUUUCUGUCAAAUAUCUUGAUGUUGGCGUUUCUUGAACUAGUGGUGCCUUUUUAUUUUGCCCUUCAUAAGAGUGAUGGCAAUGAGAAAUCAUGUCCAGAUCAUGUCCAUUUCAAAAAGAAAUGGCAUUGCAAGAUGUUUAUGAUGGUCAACGGUCUGUUAUUUAAGUCUACUCAUAGCUUAAAUUGGAUAUGCUAUUCGCAAAUGGAAAUGCUACCGAAAAAAACUUCUAGAAAACCAGCUUUUACUUGUGCCUCCGAUGUUAACUAGUAAGUUUCAUUUGAAUGCUAUUUGCAACGAAAAAGGCCACAAAAGCUUUGAGAGACCAGCUUUUGCUUGGGAAUUGAAAACAAUCAUUCCUCAUAAGCAAAGUUUAUUAAGAUGCUUUUAUUUGUUAACAUCAGUCCAUAUAUUAUCAUACUACAACAUGUAGCCAUCAUAAGAAAUUUCACAUUUACCUUCUCGCAAAUGGAAGAUGAAUUUGUUUCGACUGAAGAAUUUCUUUCAAACGCUGUUUCCUAUUUGCAGGCAAUGUUAUCAACUGGCCAAGCAGAACAACGGCGCGUUAUUGACCCAGCUGUGCUGGCUUCUUCCUCACAAGAGUCUCUAUCGACUGCGAUCUCAAUCACAAGCAAAUGCUUGUCGCAGGAACCUUCUCACCCUUCAAUAGAAGAUGUGCUGUGGAACCUGCAGUACGCUGCACAGGUUCAGUCCAUGGCUGACGGCGAUCAGAAGUCGGAUAUUCUAUCACAAGCAUGAUCCUGAUGUGGAAUACAAAGAACAGGGAGCAUAACAGUUCCAAGCCAACGCGAUCCUUUGACACCCCAUGAGCAGAGACAUCAAGUGACCACAGGCCCCAAAGCUUGCAGAACUGAAAUCCCAAGUUGGCAUUGCCAAAGAGAGAUGUUGUAAAGGGCAUUCCCUGUUCAUGUAUUCCAUUUCAUAUUAUUCAUAAUCCCAUUGUCAUGGUUACAAUGUACAUUAUAUUCCCUAAUCUAUAAUUAAUUUUCUUCCUCCAUUUCAUUGAUUGGAAAGCAGAUUCUUUGUUUCAUCCAUGUUUCUGUUCUAGUAUGUGAUGGAAUACAUAAAAAUUAGUUGUCCAUAUGCAUCACCAUCAUUAUCUUUUAUUCAGAAAAUUUGUCUUUAUUGUCUACAAUGCACAAAAAAAAAGUCCACCGUGGGGUCCAUCGGCCACGUUUCGUGUACCCUGUCUCGGAUGAGACAGGCGAUCUGUGGUCGUAGGAUUCCGCACGUGUUUCCAACUUCCAACUGUUGAUUUGUUUAUAGUUGUUCCUUUACUUCCUUUUUCUCUCUCUCUCUCNNNNNNNNNNNNNNNNNNNNUCUUCUUCUUUCUUCUCUCUCUCUCUCUCUCUCUCUCUCUCUCUCUCUCUCUCUUCUCAUUCCAACAUAUAACAAAAAAGAGUUCAAAAACUAUCAGUCUCUAGUUGGAUUAUAUGCCCCAAUUCUACAAAUGUGAACCACACAGGACGUAGGAAACACGUACGCAGCCGAGUCAUGUCUUCUUCUCUAUCGGUUGUCUUCACCAGACAAUGGACUCAAAUAAUUUUAGGAAUAAACUUGAAAUGUGUAUUUAUAAUUCAAUACAUAUUUCAAAUAUAAAUUAAAUUUUAAUUUUUUUUUCAAAUCGUAUUUGACCUGAAUGCUGCAUUGAAAAAUACUUAGAUGCUGAUAUCAGCAUUUUAACAUUUAUGAGAUGCUAAUAUAUUUUUUUAAUUUAAAAAUAUCUUAUAAUUUUAUUUAUAAUUAUAAGAUUAUCAAAAUAAUUUAGUGAUAAACUAACAUGAUUUAUAUUUUUCAUAAGACGAAAUUUUAUUUAUUUAUUUUAAAAAUUAUUUUAUAGUUAUUUAUAUGAUUAUAUUUACAUUUAAUUAAUUAUUAAUAAAUGUAAAUAAAAAAUUUAUAUAUUUACUUAUGAAUAAUAUUUAAAAUAUUAGAAGCAUAAAUUUAUCAUAAAAUAUUUAAUGGAUUUUUGAAAUAUAAUUUUAGCAAACAAUAUUUAUAUCAAGAUAUAUUUAAAAUAAUAUAAUUUUUAUUUAUUAUUUGUCAAUCACUCGAAGUAUUUCAUCUAUAUAUUAAAAAUAUUAAUAUAUUCACAAUCGUACCAAUUUUUGCUUCCUCCGUGGAAAACCUUUGACUGCUGCAGCCAAACGAGGGAAGCAGCAAACGAACAAAACGGUGGCGCACUCAAAUCUAUACACGCCAUAGAUGUGAACUUUGGCUGUCAUCCAUUGCUAAGAGAACAAAUGAAGACUGCUCUCUCUCUCUUUCUCUGUCUUUAUCUAUCUAUCUAUCUAUCUAUCUAUCGAUCUGUCCGUCAACACAUACAGCCUCAACGCUGUGCUGCAUCAUUGGCCUCGAUAUGUGAACAUAACCACAGCUUCCGCCAUUCAUCGAUCGAACAAAGUGAGCACUUUCAAUGACUUUUCUCAGGAAGGUAAUCAAGGGUUGACUGCGUGUAGAUUAACAUAUGUAGACGAGGCAUGCAACAUGUAUAGCUCAGUUGACUACCGGCAUCGUGUGAAACGCGGAUGAAGAAAGUAUUUUACUCUCCCUGCGUUGACUUUCCCUCUUCGACCUCAGAAGUCUUCCAUACAUCUUGCAACCAGCCAUCGCAUUGACUUUCGAUAUGAAAGCAGACAUAGAUUAUCCUAAUCGUUCUAUCCGGUCCUUUGACUGUGAUCUCGUCGAACAUGUUGUUUGAUGGCCCCAUCCAUGCAGAUUCUUAUAGAUGGAGUCGGUACACUCCGGCCUUUGUGAAGCCAAAUCUACCACCUCAUCAUCUCUCCCUUGCCUUCACUUGGAUCGAUGUGGAUCUCUCGUCUUGUCUCCCUUCGUACAUGUGACAGCUUUCUGCACUCCUGUUCUUCGUACGGCCGAAGUUAAGGCAGAAUUUGAGUAGUCAAAGAUUACGUCAAAACGUAGUUAUCGGCUGCUAUCAGCUGUGAUAUCUUCCAUAUAUAUGAGUGUAAUCUCAAACAUCGAAUGCAAUUUUCUAUGUUAGACAUCAUUAACGUUACUUAGAAACUCAACCACAUGGAUUCCACGCAGGAGAAGCUUCGUAUGAUAUUACUUAGAAAUGGUAGAAAGUGAUUUACAAAAGAAAAUAAUAGAUAUGAAGAAAAAUAUAAUCCCUAGUUUGACUAGUAAUAUGAUGAAGAAGACCCGAUGAAGUCAACCACUAAUAUUUAAGUAUGUGGUCAUCCACGAGUGAGCGACGUGUGGCCUCAAUAGAGUUUAAUGACAUUAAAACAACAACGAAACUGGUCCUAUAUAGUUGAGUUCGUGUCAUUGUCACGAGAUAUAUCUAUGCUUAACUAAUAUGAGAUGAGGUUUUAUCUUACAGGACGAAAACAUCUUCUCAUUUUCAAACUUUUCAAACAGUGAUCUUUUUUUUUUCUAAUAAAAACAUUGUGCUAUAGCGUUUUCAAUAAUACAAGAAAAAUAUCAUUACAUAAUAUAAAUAUAUUAUAUUAUAAUAUUAUAAUAUAAAAAUAUUAUGUUUAUAGUGUCUUUGCAUUGUUACAAUGCUUUCAACAAUAUUAGAGAAAUACUUUAUAGUACAAAAAUACUGUAAUACAGUGUUUUUGUUUUCGACAAUACUAAAAAAAUAUUGUGAUCAGUAUACAAACACUGUAAUAUAAUAUUUUUAUACAACAUUAUAAUAUUUUUAUUACUAAAAAAAAUUUAAUUGGAUCGAUCGGUCCAUAUAAAAAAAAGGAGAAAAUGAGAGAAAAAUAUGUCUUUCAAAUAUUAGUAAAAAAAGGGGGUGUUAUUUGAAAAUUCUAAAAAUAGGAGACACUUGUGGGGGGAAACCUAAAAAUAGACUAUAUAGCCUGUUGACUACUGCCAAAUGGUUGACUGAUUUCAUAUAUUGUAGAAUACUAUGACCCAUUUGUUGGGAAAUCAAAGACAACAACAAUUCAUGUUUUACAUUGAUUGCCUUACUCGUCUCGCAAGGCACAUAUAUUGCUCCAUAAUUAAUGUUUGGUCAUGGGUUCUGUCAGUUGUACAGUGAAAGCUAGCAAUUAUUUCAUUUAUUACAAUUGUGAUUGUGACGCCAUCGCCAAAGCAUUCCUACAACAAAUUAAUUUCACUACCACAAAUUUUCAUAUCAAAUACAAAAAAAAAAAGAAAAAGAGAAAGGUUGUGGUAAAUUAAGUUGGGUUAAUUUUGGUCGUCGACUCUAUAAUUUGAUACACUUUUUGAGUUAUUAAGUGCUCGUAGAAAAGAUAUAAUUUUAGUAUUUAUUAUGAGUGAUAUUCAUAUGAUGAGUCGAUGCCAAAUUGGCAGUCAUCGAUGGAUUCAUAAGAUAAUAUGGAUUCUGGGUGUGAUGAUGAUGAUGUGGCAGAUCUCUUCGUCAUGUCCGGAAGCUGAGAUAGGAACUGUGAGGGGGCAAAUGAAUACCGCAUGAUUGGUACUCUUAAGCCAAAAGUCUUAUGCUCCGUGGCAUGUACGAAAAGGACGUGCAUGGACGGAGCAGGGAACCCACCUGACCUCCCGUCAAAGUUCCACGUCCCACGUUUAACAUCAAACCCCGUUCCACUUUUACUUGUUUAUCCGCGUUGACCAUCGAAAAAGCCUUACAUCGAUCUAAUCAAGCGUUUUCAAGCCCCACACACACACACACACACGCGUCCGUCUCCUAUCAACCCAUUCCCAAUGCCCAUACAUCCGUCGCUGUGUUGGAAGUUUGAGCCUAUGUAUGUGAAGGAAUUAUUGGGGGUGUGUUGAGCCGCAAAGCGGACGAACCGACCACUACGGAGAAGAGAGAGUCGCCGGAAUUCAACGCUUUCUGAUGCAGCAACAAGAUGUGGGAUCCGAUUAACUCGUUGUCUCACCUCCAAAAACCGCGUUCCACCUAUAUAUAUAACCCACCCACCCCACUCACCUCGCCUCCUCAGCUCCACCAAGCGAGAAGCUCGCUGCCUAGUUCCUUUCCCUCUCUCGCUUCCUCUCCUUCGGCUCCGGACUGCGAUCCCCGCAUGGCGUUGCGCUUACCGGCACAGAGCGCUUCUUUGUUGUCGCGUGAAGCUCGGCCGCAGAGGCGGACUCGGGUCUCGGCCUCGUCGGUGGCGGCGGCACCCGCGGUGGUGACCCGGCAUACUACGCCUGCUGUGGCGGUCAAGCACUCGGCGGUGAGCGCCGUGUGCAGGCCCUCGCUCGCCAGCGUGUGGCGGGAGAUCCAAGGCGCCGACGACUGGGAGGACCUCGUGGAGCCCCUCGACCCGCUGCUGCGCGACGAGAUCGUGAGGUAUGGGGAGCUCGUGGUGGCGUGCUACAAGGCGUUCGACCUCGAACCUGCCUCGAAGCGGUAUCUAAACUGCAAGUACGGGAAGAAGAGCAUGCUGCGGGAGGUGGGCAUGGCGGAUGCGGGGUACGAGGUCACCAAGUACGUGUACGCGACGCCGGACAUUAGCAUCCCCACGCAGACCGGCACGUGCUGCAGCCGGUGGAUCGGGUACGUCGCGGUGUCUUCCGACGAGGCGGUGCGCCGGCUGGGGCGGCGGGACAUUCUGGUCUCCUUCCGAGGGACCGUCACCAACACCGAGUGGAUCGCCAAUUUGAUGAGCUCACUGACGGCGGCGCGGCUGGACCCCCACGACCCCCGCCCCGAUGUCAAGGUCGAGUCCGGCUUCCUCAGCCUCUACACUUCCGACGACAGCAGCAGCAAGUUCAGCAGCGGCAGCUGCAGGGAGCAGCUGCUCUCCGAGGUCUCCCGGCUCAUCAACAAGUACAAGGACGAGGAGCUAAGCAUCACAUUGGCGGGGCACAGCAUGGGAAGCUCGCUGGCUCUGCUCCUCGGGUACGACCUCGCCGAACUCGGCUUGAACCGCGACGGGUCGCGGCGGGAGGUGCCCAUCACGGUGUACUCCUUCGGCGGCCCCCGGGUGGGGAACUCGGAGUUCAAGGAGCGCUGCGAGGAGCUCGGGGUGAAGGUCCUGAGGGUGGUGAACGUGAACGAUCCGGUCACCAAGCUCCCCGGCGUCUUCCUCAACGAGAACUUCAAGGUCCUGGCGGAGAGAUACGAGCUGCCAUGGAGCAGCUCCUGCUACGCCCACGUAGGAGUGGAGCUCGCCCUCGACUUCUUCAAGAUGCAGAACCCGGUGUGCGUCCACGACUUGGAUGCCUACAUAGGGCUGCUGAAGUGCCCGAAGGUGGCGGAGGUGAAGAAGAACGGCGCCGACCUUGUAAGCAAGGCAAUGAAGUUUCUAAGCCACCAAAGCUUCGACGCAUGGCGGUGGCAAGACGCGGCGAUGCAGGUUGGCAACCUGGUGCAGUCUUUAGGAAUCUGAGGACUGGCGAAGCCAUGGAUCAACCAUGUAGAGAAGAUGACCCCCCCCCAAACACUAACCCUAGAAUAUUUGAUAGGUCUAGGAGGCGUGUAUGAUCAAUUACACACACAUUCUUUGAUACGUUGUGUACAUGAACAGAAAAAAAAAUCCCUUCAUUUUUGAUAGAGAUAUAGAUGAACACUGCAAGUCUGUGUAGUAUAUUCACAUUAAUGUUGAGUGUCACAAUUUGUCUCUCUCAGUAUCUGUUCAAUCCUUUUAUUUUUUGGUCAUUUGGUCGUGCUUUCCACUCAUUCUAAGUGGUGAUUUCUUACUCAGCAAAGAAGAAAAGAUGGAUCGAUGUACGGGUCAUCGGACUUGAGGUCCAUGUUUUCAUACCACGAGUCUUCCAUUGCCUAUAUUCAAUCUCAAGCUUUUGAAAUAUCAUAGCAUAGACGAUCUAAAACUUUUGAACUUGACUUACAAUAAGCAUGACUUGUGUGCAAAUAUAACAAUUUGAUUUGUUAGGUUUUCUUGGAUCUUUCUCCUCCAAAUCGGUACCCCAGAAUUCAACACCCUCAUUUAUCCGUCAUUGCGAUGGAAUUUCUAUUCACAGUUCUUUAACAAAAAGAACAAAGCCAUGUGCUGUCGACCUGUGCUCCAUGACAGAAGCCGCCAUGCACAUGAAACAGCAUUGCGGCACUGUUGUAUGUUCCUCAUGGUCUGAUGCUAUAAAUGUUAAGACUUUACCUGUGAAUUCCGAGAUUUAUGACUACUUAGUUUGAUUGAUGCCCCAUUUCUCAUGCUUUGUUCUACAUAGUUCCUGAGAAGUGGGCACUAAGUGUGCUCAUCGACACUUUCUUCCCACAGAGUAAUCACGUUUAACUUCGUCAACUUUCUACCUUGACCGAUGUGCUCGUGCAUGCAACUCACGUUCCCAGCUUCAGUAUACCACCUUGUGCAUCUCUCUCUCUCUCUCUCUCUCUCUAUUAAUACGUAUAGAUGAACUUGGUUUCGAGGAAGCAGAAUGAUUUGUUUCCCAGAGAGCGGUAGGAAAGUGAGAGUUGUGGAAGCGGGGAGGCAUGCAAGGGUUGGGCCACCACUUCGUGAGCCAAUAGGCGAUCUCCAAUGGGCCAGUGACUUGAGACUCUGGCGUAGACGAAGCAUUAACGUAGACAGAUAUAGAGACGAAUACAACGAUGUUGGGGGAUACCGACCGCAUGACAACACGCGAAAUGGGAUGGCAGGGGUUGACCAUUCCAACACUCGACGACGUGUUUUACGUACUCGGAUCAUGACGUCGCUAAAUCGAGUGACGGGGGGUGGGCGAAGGUCAAACCCACGGCCCGAAUUAAUGGCACAGCACUUAUUGGGUGAAGCGAGACAGGAGAUGAAGUCAAAAAAGGAGAUGGUGAUGUUGGUGAAGAAAGUUUGAACAUUAGAUCGUAGCCACUGUUGCUUCCUUCACUCCCACCACCACCUUUUGAUGGCAACGACACCCACUCUGAGUUGUGCUUAGGUUGCAACUGUCCUUAUAUUAGAGAGAGAGAGAGAGAGAGAGAGAGAGAGAGGUUAAUAAUUCUAUACAUAUAUAUUAAUCUAAUGAUGGUAUAUUAAACCCAUUUAUGAGGGUUCAAAACCUUCUUAUACUCUGACUGCGAGUGUUAGUAUACCAAACUCACUUUAUCAAGCGAUCGAGAGUUGAAAACACGGAGGAACUAAAAUAUAUUCAUCUAAAAUAUUUAAUAUUAAUGAUGUACUGAAUCCGAUUAGGAACUAUACGAUUUCUCUGAUAUGACUUAAGAGCAUCCCUCCUUGCCCCUAUGGUGUAGGCAUGCAUGUGUGUCAUGGUCACAUGGUUUUCGUUCCGGUUUCUAUCACGAAAUCAAACCUUGGUCAUGACCCGAUACAGGGCUGCGUCGAUCUCUAGGAUCUCAUCAACUCUCACGAGGUAAUCAUGCGUCUCAUCACCGUGAGUCGGAGGGCAGACGCGCAGCAGCCGCAAGUGACACAUGCAUGCGGAGGAUAUAAAAGAAGAUAUAUGCGUUCAUGUCACUACAAGAGAGAGGCCUAAUUCCAUGUUAAAUCCCAUCUCAAGUCCAAAACACGCGCGGGGGUUCGGGAAGCAACGCGACUGGUUCGUGGUCGGUGUGCCCCACGACACCCUGCGCGGAUCGCUGGUGUUCCCCGCUGCUCGAGGAAGGUCCCACAAUUCCCUUUCAUUUGUGUGUAUGUAUAUAUAUGAAUGCGUACAUGUUUGUUCGUAUUGCGCGCACAAAAUGUUGGUCUUGAUUUUGACCCGAGAUCUUGCGAAUCUUGGAAAGUCCGUCACGAGUUAAUCAUGCGUCGCGUGAUGCACGAAUCUCGACGACCCGAGUGCCAACGCCGCCGUCACAAGCAACACGUGCCUUGAGGGCAACGCCGUCCGCAAACGGUCAGAGGAAGGAAACAGCGUUACGCGGUCGGUCUUUUUGACGGCGCAACCGCUGUCGCAGCGGCGUCAGAGAACACGGACGACUCCCCUCCCCCACUCCCAGGAUUCAGCUGGCCGGUGCAGGCCACACCGUCGUACCUGAGUCCACCGAGACAGGUAGAGCUCGACGGUGUGUGUCAUGCGCGGAUGUGUCUCCUACUUUGAUUUCUCACACGUACCAUUUGUAAUAUAUAUAUAUAUCCAAGCAUAUAUAUGAAGGUAGAUCAUAAAUAGUAUGCGAUGGAGGUGGGACCCACCAAAAGGAAGCGGGGGAAAGUCGAAUGAUAUGAUGAUAUGCUCUUUCCCAAAAGAAAGGAAACAUGUCGCAAAAGUACUUCACAGUCACAUGACCUUUUUGCUAUAUACCUCAUUGAAACCAAAGGAUGAAAUGAUAGGAAGGCCAGCUUAUCAUGACAAGACAAGCACAUGAUGCAUCUGUUAAUUCCAAUGUCGAAUUCUUAUUCCCAUAGCAGGAACAAUUUGUCUCUUCUUUCCAGGAAAUUGGAGUAUUUGUAUUUAUACCAUCAUCAUCAUCAUAAUCAUAUAAUUGGCCCGAACAGACGAUGAAGCUUCAUGCAUAGCACUCUUCAUGUUGAUUGGUAGAUAGAACAACAGUUCGCAAGCUCAAAGUGAAUGGCCUCUCUGAAUGCUUUGGAUGAGUGCCUUGGAAGAAGAGAUCGUUCCCACCACGCCCAGGAGAGCUCCGAGGACUAUUAGUACUCCGUUGAGGACAACCGUGGGCUUGGAGACCUGAGGCCAGCAGAUCUUAAGGUAGAAGGCACAGGGGAAGAUCAGCGAAAUGGCUAUGCUCACGAGGGAGCCGGUGAGGCUGAGGACGUGCUCAAAGUAAGGGAGGGAGAGGGCCAGCGCCAGGAUCACCAGCAGCAGGAUGGAGCCCACGCUGCCCCUUAUCACCAUCCGCGCCCUGGAGCUCAUGGUGGAAGGAAGCUUGUGCUCGAGUUGGCUGGCGAAGGGAGAGAACUCGAGGGCGUACUUGGUCAUCGGCGUCAGCACCGUCGCCCACAGCGCGAUCUUGGUGGCGAUGAGGUGGGGAGGCAUGCUGAGGGUGAUCUGCGAGCUGACGGCCGGCCCGAAAAGCUUGGCGCCCAUGAAGGCGAGAGCGGUGUAGAGCAUGGUGACGGUGGUGAAGCUCGCGAUGGAAACCUGCAAUUUUGGGAACGCAGCGGAACACAUGAUCAUGAGCCCUGAACUCACAUCUUAGUUUGAGCUCUGGUGUAGAAUAUGCUACCUUGGUGAACUUGGAAGGGUCCUUCAUGGCGGUGUAUAUGUUAGGGAAGACGAUAUGACCGGCGUAGCUGAAGAUGUAGAGCCCAGAGAUCCCUGGGAUCUUGCGAAGCUGAAGCAGAGGGAUGCUGUGGUUCCCCCUCACACCGCCGAACGCUGCGGUGCAGGCGAUGGUGACGAAGAUGAGGAGCGACAUGACGAUUCCACCAAAGGAGAGGAAGGAGAUGGAAGACAGGUCCCUCAGCCAGAGGGUGGGGAGCGCAACCAGCACCGCGACGACUGUCAGCAGCUGCGACGCCGACAGAGGCAGCCAUGAAAUAUGGGCAUGCACGCCGGAGAGCACCAAGGGCAGGUUAUCGCUCAGCGAGAUGGUGUAGGAUACGAGGGCGAAGAAGAUCUCCAAGUAGAUGAGGGUGGAAGCUAUGAUCCUUCCUUUCGCCCCAAAAGCUUGCUGCCCGAUGUCUUGGUAGGUCUUGGAGCUGGAAUCCUCUUCGAGGCACUUCCCUAUGAUAUGUGAGGUGUAGGCACACAUAACUCCAAGCCCCACCAGCAGGAACACCGAGCUCCACCCUCCAUUCUCCAAAGCAUAUGGAGUAGACAGCUGACCAAGUCCUGCAUCAAGAGACUCAUGGAUGAGGAACCAUGAAAAAGAGCAGAGCCAUGCCAAAAGAGCAGAGUACCUAUUAGCAUCCCGAUCAUAUUGAUCACCGAGUGAGUGAAGGAGCUGGUAGCCUUUGCAUGGUGUUCACUCUGCAAGUUCAAGACUUCAGUAUCUUUCCCACACUUGCAGACCUUGUUCCCCUCGACGCAGGUUACACAGUUCGCAGACUGCGCGGCGGCGGCGAGCUGGGCGCCGUGCACCGUCUCACUGACAACCUGAUUCCGCUGAGGCUGCUUGCCGAACUCAAGAGACGACCAGCAUCGGCCGAACUUUGUCGCGCUGAAAUCCGACAUCUACUUAAUAAGAUCCUUUUUUAUGUUCUUAAUGAUCUGAUACUUGUAAGGGAAUAAGGUGGUGAAUUUAUAGGGUUUGGUUGUGGGGUUUAGAGGUGAUCAGAAUCCCACUAGCUGCACUUGGAAGAUGCUCGUGGAGACUUAGCAUAUAGUAAGUUGGCAUAUUGGAAGGGCGGAAAGCAUUUGGUAGGCAUCAAACAGUUGUAGGCUGUGGUGCUUGGAAAUGAACAUGUGAGAGAGCACAAAAACCAGAGGAUUAACUGGUGAGGAGGGAAGCAUGAUCACUUGCAUGGAACUGCAACUGAUGCUGCAUACCUCAGAUGGAAUCUCUACCAAGUCACUGUGAUCUAAUUGCUUGUUACGAGGAAGGAAUCCCAUUUCCGUCCACAUUGCUUGGAUGCUUUGCUUGCAGAAGACAAGGACAUCCCUCAUUUCACAAGCAUCUUCUCUUGAUACUUCGUUAUCCUUGCUCUCACCUUUCCGGUUUGGAGGAGAAGAUGGAAUGACGUAACACACAAAAUAGAACUUCCUAAGGCUGCUUUCUUCUGUGCUCAUUUUCUGAUGCCAUGAGAUCUACUUUAAAGGUCAUGUCUGCAACACAUGCUGAGUAAAGCUUCUCUUUUUCUAAUGCAGUGAGAGACUAAACCGGGCUCUACUUCUUGCCGUCGAAGGAAAUGGAGUUGUGGUCGGCCGCCACCCACGAUUGAGAUUCCUUCACACAGAGAGAGCAUCUUUCUACAGGCCAUGCAUGAAUCACUUGCAGCAGUAGUGCAGCAUCAGCAGCCAUGCAUGUUGAAGGAAGAGGAAGUGGGGGGUGAGUGCCAGGUUCAAUUGCCAUGAGGAUGAUGAAAAGGAAGACAGGUCCAGCAAUCGUGGAACUACACACGAUUAAUUAAUCUCACACGAAUCAAACACCCGAGCCGAUUCCUUCGGAGGAAUAUUUGAUUGAUGUCACACAAUAUUCCAGUGGAAUCAAAUGCCUUGGCAUGUGGAGGUGCUCUGAUUUGGUUAGGCACUACAGGAACCGAGGACUCUGGGUGGACUAGUGGAGUCUUUUCCACGUCCACUUUUGCCAGAGUUCACUCUGUUUUGCUGAUGGCUUCAUUUAGUCGAUCCAUUUUGCCGAGAACAAAUCAACUUGUUACCAGCUUUAGCUUGGUUUGAUAUGAUAAAAGGCAGUAAGUACUAGGGAGUUGCACACACCCUCAGGUCUCAGGUAGGCAUCAGCAUGGGUUGGUGUUCCAUACUUGGGAUUGCUCCUCCUUUCCUUGGCAGUGAGUGCCAGUUUUCCCGGUGCCCAAAAUUAUUACUCCAUCAGUAAGUUUUAAUCCCAUGUGGAAUUGAAACAGGAGAAAGAGAAGGGAAUAGAAUGUAUGACGAGAGCAGGUGGCAUUCAUGCCCUUCAUCUACUACACUUAACACUGCCAUUACACUGUGCAACACACACUGCAUACAGUAAAAGCUUAUAAAUGAACAUACUGCUACUACGUACAUUGCUGCUUCUCUUUCUCUCGGUCAUUCAAUCUAUAACGCUAACUAUAUAGAGAGAGAAAGCUUCUUAGAAGGGUUCUUUGGUUCGUCUGCGAGUGCGCUGACUAGUGAAGAAGGCUGAGAGUCUCCAAUGACUUGACCGUCUCGAGCUUGCCGGAUAUCGGUUGUGCUGGUGGAGGCAGUGAGUUAUGCUUGCAGUUUGGGCAAGAAGGAGAUGACUUGCACAGCAUGACGAGGAGGUGGCAGUUCACGCACACGGCUGCGACCAUGUUGCCGGAUGAAGAAGACUUGGUUGGCUUCUCUGGACUAGCGGAGGUAGUCUUAUUUUCUGAGCUUGCGAAGGUGGCGAUGUUGAGCUCCAGGUCUAGCUUUUGCUCCUUGGGUCUGCUCCAGCUCUUUCUCAAGGUCUUUCUGUUCAAGAAGUAAAUCCUUCCGGACUGCUACAAGAUUGUUGUCAGGUCAACAGAAGGGAAUUAAACAAUCCAUACGACAAAACCAUAAUCAAAGUGUUUGAUUAUAACCACAAUGCAUGAUGCAGAGAAUGAGUGGUUGAAGCAGCAAAAUUGCAAGACUAUGAAUCACACUCCAAGAUCUUCAUGUAUUCUUUUCACAAGCUUUAAGGAUGGUACUAAGACAGUAGUAGUUGCACUAGAGAGCGAGAGAGAGAGAGAGGUGAUCACUUGUAGGUCCAAGCACUGCUCCCAAUCCAGGGGCAAGGGAUCAUUGAGCUGGAGGUCAAUACUCGUGUGAAUCGUAGGGUCAUCCCAAGUUUGCUUCCUCUUCCUCCUAGGGUUGGCCUCCGACCUUGUAGGUGAGCUAUUGGUGCUCUCACUUAAGAGUGACAGGGACGACCCUCCUAGGGAAAGCUCCAUCUGAUCCAUAGCUCACUCGAAUCGAGCACCAGGCCUUCUUUCCUGCACCCAAAUGGAACAUGUAUACACACAAAGGAAAGAAGAAGGCUAUGAUAAAGGAGACGAGGUGUGUACAGAGAGAGAGAGAGAGAGAGAGAGAGAGCAAAGCUUUAGUGAAGAGAAAAGCUGAGGCUUCUCUCCCUUUUAGAUUGAUGUGGUCAUGCAGGAGGAAGGAGAGGGUUGAUACUUAAAGAGGGUUCUUAAAUAGACUUCAUCCAACCCCAUUAAAAGGAGCACAGGCCUUGCAUUUAAAGUUGAUGAGUAGAGUGACCUUAAAUGCCUCAAAUACCACCGUUUAAAUCCUCCCUUGCUUGAACGAGCGAUGCUGCUGAAUGUAGUUGGUCAACCAUGUUAAUGUUAAACACAUCAUUCCAUGUGAUCCUAACAUCAUUUUUCUCCGCUAAUGAUCCCAUUAAAAUGUUGGCAUCCUUCCAUCCACCACGACUGUUCAUGUUGAUGAGAGUAACAGUCGCUUCGUGACCCCAUUAAGUUGGCAGUUUGCAAUCAUUCAAUAGUUAUUGUAACAGUGUACUUAGACGCUAAUCCACAGCAAUAACAAAGCGCAUGGUUGGUGUUUGGUCACAUCAACAUAAGCCAUGCACGAUGCCAAGUUCCUGGUUGAUUCUCAUCGCUACAUGAAAGCAGUUUGUCGAUCUUAUUUAGUGCCAUUGGUCCAAGAAAACUUCGGAUGAUAUGAAAGCAUCGUGUAGAUCGAUCUCUCAUACACCUUACAUGGCACCAGAAUCCCUAUAAAUACCACCUCAAGCAUUAAACUCCCGCGAAAUUUAUGAACUGCUUCUUCUUGGUGGGCAUUCAUGGCCUUGCUCAACCCAAAUUCUCACGAUGAAGCAAAGAAGACAUCUGAGAGAGAGAGAGAGAGAGAGAGAGAGAGAGAGGUUAAUAAAUACUUAUCGAGAAAUGCAGGCUCACCACCGCAGCCACCAAGACGUAGUAAAUGGGCAAAGGCUAAUGAAGAAGGAACAAAUAUGGCGUGCAGGAGCUUCCACAUAUCAUGACUGUACGAUGGGCAGUGCUCAAUGAAUUGAGGUGCCAAUCUGUGGUCGUUGGGGCUUCAACACAUAUUUAAUGGUGUGAAGUUAUAUCCAUUGACAGUUUAAUGUCGCAGCCCACGCCAUGGCUGAUCUCACUGCUCCCAUCUCUUCUUGCUCAGGCAUCUCUUCUCGAGAACACUCUUACGUGAUACACAUGCAUACAUACAUACAUAUUUAGAUAUAUUCUACGGAGCCAAAAAAGAAAAAGGAAAUCGAUCAUUUUUGUCGUUUCUUUUGAUCUCUUCUUCGUAUUCAUAGAAAGAUGUAUACAUUUACUGGCCUUGUGUUCUCAACUUCAGUACCUCAGGUGGUGGAUGUAGUCAGCAAAACCCAUCACACAACAUGAAAUGCUUUAAGAACUUGAUAGGUGUUGAUUACUACGCAGUUAAUGACUUUGAGCAACUUUGGGCAAGAUGGUUUAAUGGCAGCCUGCAGAACUGGAGCUUGUGUGCAGUGAAAUCAGAUUCAAGUACUGUCAGCUCACCAAAUAACACAAUUUCUCAGUUAAUUUGGCUGAAGAUUUUGAAACUGUAGCUGUCAUUUAUAAUUAGAAAGAUAGAGAGAAACCAGAACAAGGUUUCUACGAUAAAGUUGCUCUUUUGCGAUCUGAUCUUAGGAGUAACAUCUUUACUUGUGUCGGUAGGAGCUUCAUACAUUGGUUAGCAAUAAGACAAGAGAGAGCAUUUCAAGUCAUGGUCAGCUACUUUGCAUGUUUGACUUUGAUUUCUUUAAAUGCAUCCAAGUUGCUUAUAAUGGACUCCUAAUUGUAAUUGUCAGGAUGUACUGUUCAGCCUAUACAGGAAGAGAUAAAGAUCAACUAAGCAUGAACAAUUUGAUUUCCCUGCAUUACCCCCUCAUAGCAAUGCUUUAAAUAUAUAUAUAUAUAUAUAUAUAUAUAUAUAUAUAUAUAUAUAUAUAUAUAUAUAUAUAUAUGUAGUUUUUCUUACAGUUAAAAGCUCUGAUAUUGAUGGAUUCUGCUUGCAAGACAACCAGCAUACAUGAAGACAUUUGAUCUGAGAUGGAAGCUGUCUUAACAUGGAAGUCAAAUUUGAGCACUGAUUAAUAUGUUUGGAAGAGGCUAGGAAAGGAUGUGACAGUGAGCAGAACACAACAGAUUUCACUCUGAGAGGUGUUAUUUUCUUUUGUGAUUCUGUUCAUCUCUUGACCAGUCAUGGAGGAAAAAGAAGGAUCAAGCUGGAUUAUGUUCCCAAAAAAAGUCUGCUUUAUCUUUUAAUAAAAGCAACAAUGCGAGGUCCAAAAAGAGUCAAAAUUCAGAGUAAUGAAAGUGCUUGUGGGGAUUUGGAUUUCCAUUGCAUUAGGUAGCAAAUUUGAGGAAGUUGCAGUGCUUCAGAAGCCUCUUCAGACAGCCAGCCAUGUUGAUGGCAGAAGCAGUGUUUCUGAAGGACCAAAAACAUCAUUCAAGAGUGCUUCUCCAAUUCUGUGAAGAUUUAGUUAGUAUUCCUGCACUGCAACUAAUAAGAAUUCAUCUCUCCAUUGAUGACAUCCUAAGCUUCUUCAAACUUCGACCAAAGUCCUCUAAUUAUAAACUUGACAGUGCAAAGUUUAGAUAGUCAACCAGUAUCAACAAAUUAACUUCAUUUGUCCAAUCAGUCUUCUCUUAAACAAAAUUCAGUAAAAGAAAAAAGAUUCACAUACUCAGAGAGGUGGUCAAAACAGUCAAGGCAGACUGAACAACAGCAGAUAAAUACAUGUACUUAAUCUAUAGAGGCAAAACUAUUAUGUCUCAAGGCACAUCUGUGUAGUACAAUUAUGCAUGGAAUAGAAUUCAAUUCCAUUUCUUGUGAGGAUAGUGAAAAGGAGUGACUUUUUCACAUAAAAAUCACUUGACUUCUCCUCUUGUACCAAUAAUUGAACCUUAGCAGUCAAUAACACAGUAGAAACAUUGCUUGAAAAUACACAAAGAAUCUUCUAAAAUUCCUUUGGAUCAGAUUUAUGAUGUUACACAGCCUAACAGUGCCAGCAUUGCAAGAAGGGCUGAUAUGUGCUCAAGAAANNNNNNNNNNNNNNNNNNNNAUGAAGCUGACAGCUUCCUCCAUUACUGCACCAUGGAACUCCACAGCAGCAGGAAACAAGAAUCCAUUAAAAACCAACCUACUGCAGUUCUACUUAGUUUCAUGCACUCCUGCAGCAUUGAAUUCCACAAUUUUCUUGUAUCCAUCAGCUUCACUGUGGGAUAAGCCGAGGGACUAAUGUAACUGCCACUCUCAUCUUAAAUGCAGCAUUCAUGCUUGCCCAGUUUGUAUGAAGAUUUGUCACCUGCAUCUGCUCUUGAGAGCAUGUGAUGUGGAUUCAAGGAACAAGAUUUCUACCCCUCUUCUUGACCAAGUCCUGCAAUUAAAGAUGGUAGUGAUUGGCCAACUUAUUUAGCUGCUUCCUCAGCCUCCUGUCCAUGUAUCAUUUAAAGACCCCCACAGGCUCUCACCCUAACAAAUGAUGCCACAAUUCUCUUCCUGCAAGAAUUAGAGACUGACAUCAGAUUUCUUGAAAAACAAUCACACCACAUGCAUGCUUGAUGCAUAUGAAUCAUUAGACCUGCUGCAGAAUCUACAGGAUGAGAGUACCUCAAUGAACUUGCAAAACAAAUAGUUCAGAUGUUUGCAGAAAAUGUUUGCCAAUUACUUGUUAUUUCAAAUGUCAAGAUGUCUACUACUUUUGUAGCAUAGUCAUACCACCAAAGCAUAUGUACUGUUUUGACUGAUAUCUCAUACAAUCCAGUUUAAGGUCAGUGAUUCUUUUUAUGCCUCUAAAUUUCAGCUUAGCAUAUAUAUACCUGCAAAACAUUGAAAUAUAUAUAUAUAUAUAUAUAUAUAUAUAUAUAUAUGUAUGUAUCCCCUUAUAGUUAAUCUUUUUUAGUUCCAUUAUAUAAUGGUUUGAAGCUCUAACUAAAAUUAAUCCCUUGAAGACUUUGUUGCUUGAGAAAUUUAACUAUUUAUAUCUUUAUAUGCAUUAUUUAAAUUCAUAUUAGUCGAUGUUAAUUAUGCUUAGUUGCAAGGGCAAAUAAAUAAAAAAAUAGAUAUCCCUGAAAAAUUUGUAGCUUUUUUAUUAGCUCUUCUAAUUUUUAGUUUGACAUUACUAUUUCCAUAAAACUCAAAAAUUAAAAUUUUGGAAAUCUCGAGGAUCAAAUAAUUGAUGAAAUUAAUAAAAUUAUUUUGUAUUAUUUAAAGUUUUGAUGUUUUAGAUACAAUUAUACCCAUCAUUAAUAAUAGUCAACUUGACUUUAUUGGAACAAUGUUAUUUUUUUUAUGGAAGUGGAAUGAUUUAAUAUUUAAGAGAUACAUACAUACAUACAUACNNNNNNNNNNNNNNNNNNNNAUAUAUAUAUAUAUAUAAUUCGUCAAACCUCAAAUGAGUAAAGCCCUCCGUUACGAGUCGGCGCGUCUCACGUCUCCCCUUCUCGUCGCGACUAUCGGCGACGACUUGAGCGGGGCAGCGGCAGUGGGAUCCAACGAGCGGUUCGGCUGCAGGUUGGCUUCGGUCCUUAUGCUCUUCUCCUCUUCCUUUUUCCUCUUCGGAUCUGGUCGCCCGGAACCGGUCAAACCUAGACUCGCGAUCAAGAACGGAUCGCGGACUGCCGAUGGACAUGUGGGGAAAGCCACGCUAGGAUGAGGAUAGAGAACUUGUGGCUGGACCUCUGGAAAGUUUCGAGAACGGAUUUCUGAAAGAAUUUGACAAUUUGGAGUUUUAGGUGCCUUUGUCAUGAAUGAGAUUCGGUGAGGAUGACGAUUUUUAGGGCAAAAAAGAGCAAAUUUUGCUGUUUAUGAUUAUUGUCUAUUUACACGUAUAGUUUGACUUAGGGUUUUUCUCCAAUCUUGCUUAUGUUUAUCUUUGUCUUACAUGAGCUGUUCUCGUGCAAUAAAUCCCAGACGUAAAGAAAUUAUUAAGUUGUUGAUGCUUGCUUAGGGACUAGGUAGCAAUUCAAUAGCCAGUGUCAAGCCCACAUACUUAAGCAUUUCAAGCACAAUUGUUUCAGAUGUAAAAAGGAUAUCCAAAAUUAAAAAUUGAAUCUCUUAUUGCCAAGGGAUUAUUCAUGUAGGUGGUCAGGGAGCCACAAUUGAUCAGAAGGGACAGUACCAUUGUCUUUGGUAGUAGUGACUAUCGAAGAGGAAAAACGUAAAUAGUGAGAUUAAAGUGGAAGUAAUGAAAUGGUAGAGAAGAGGAGGAUUGAGAGAAGGGGAGAGGAUAGAAGGAGAAAAGUCAGUGUUGAUGUGAACAGGAGAUGCAAGAAGGAUAGAAGUCUCGGUGUUGAUGUUAAUACGAGACUAGGAGAGGAUAGAAGGAUAAAUGUCUUAGUAUUGAUGUGGACAGAGAACCCAUAACUCAUAGGGAUGGGGCUCAGGAGGCAUCUUUAGGACCCAUCUUCAAUGAAGCAUGCUGUCCAUCUUUGUGGCUUCUAGUGGUCCUUAGAGUUCAUGAUCCUCCGUGGGAGGAUGGAAAAAGAUAGUUUUCUUAGGAUUUGGGAAUGAAAGAAAUUAUGGGAGGACGUAAAAUAUGACUUUUUAGGAUUUGGGAGUGAAAGGAAUGGUGGAAUAGAAGCCGUGGGAUGAAUAAAAUUAUGAAAGAAUGAUUUGAGGGAAGUAAGGAAACCAAAUCCAGGUCCAUCAGAUCUCAAAGCAGCAAGAUUUCAUUAAUUGAAAACCAAAUACACACUGCCUGUCUGUAAUUUGGGGUGUUUUUGGUUUGCUCAAGUGGCGUUCCUGGAUGAACAGUAAUCAAAGAGCAACUGAUGAGAGUUUUCUCGUGUCUGUUUUCUUAGCCCUUAAAAAUUCUAAGUACAUUUGGUUGGAAACUUAAGAAUCCCCCUUUGAUCAAAAUAAACCUGACCUCUUACUGAUCAUCCUUACCAAUUUACUAUAAAUAUACAUCCAACCAGUUCAGUCAAAAUGGAAAACGACUCAUAUAUAAACCUAUAAACUCAACCUAACAUAACGAAAUUAACAAUAAUGAAUUGACUGAAAUAUCGGCUGCAUUAUGUUUCUUUGCAUAUAGGUAACAGCCUACAAGUGAUUGUUGUGCUGACAAUGAAGCAUAUUCUAAAGAUCAUGGCUUUGGUGGUGGUUGUUGCUGGCCUUUGGAUCAGCCUACUCCAAACAUCAGUAGUUCCUCGUAGCUACACUUGGUUGGUCAGUUUCAUGGCUCUUAUUUAUAUUUUUUGAAGUUUAAAAAUGGUCAUCUUUCUCUUUAGGGUGCCAACAAAUUUAUCUUCUACUUUCCAGCUUCCAGUUUAUCUCAUCAUUUCGUUAGGAUGCUAUGGUCUUCUCAUGGUUGGAAUUGGCUUGAUUCUGUUUCCGACAUGUCCCCAGGAAGCUGUACUGCUACAAAAGGUUGCUUUAACCAUAAAUGCUAAUUCUUAUCAAUUAUGUGGCUAAAGAUCAUGCUAUUUUGGUCUAGUUAUUUAUGGGUUUCUUUUCUUACUGGAAAAAAAAUUAAGGUCAAAUUUCAUGAAACAUCACUUGUCUUUGUGCAAUGCCAGGAACAAAAAUCCUUGAGUAAAUUUUCUUACUCACGGUACAUAAUGAUUUCUUUUUAACUGAACUAUUUUCUUCUGCUACGAUUACUACUUAGCCAAUUUGGAUGAUAUAGCCUUUAGAAAUACUUCCUGCUUCUUCAUUUAAACCACAAAGAUGAAAGUACAUGGAUGACAACCACAAGUACCAAACAGAAUCUUGUUUCAAUCAUUGUCCCUUCUCUUAUUACACCUGAGUUUCUGUUACAAAAGCACCUAGGUGUUUUGUCAAGGUGAUGCAAGCUUAUCAUUUACUGGUUCUGCCGUUAUCUUUAUAGCUUUGAAAUCUCAUUUUAUUUGAUUAUAAUAAUGAGGUUGUUUGCCAAGUUUUUUCCAAAACAAAAUUGCCAAGCUGGGGAUUGAACUGAUUGGUAACAUUAAUGGGUUACUAGAUAUUUGACAUAUAGCUCCGAGUCUUUCAGAAUUAAGGUGAUUUUAAGAUUUCAGUUUCUUAUAUUUUUUGCCAAUCAGAUUCACCAAUGUACCUUUGUGAAUAGAGCUUUAUUAUGAAAUUUUGCCUUGGCCCAUUUAAAAUGCUUGACAAGGAAAUUGUGUCUGAGUGCUAGGCCCUAACUGGCUUGAGGCGUAUUGGUUCUUUGAGUUGGAUCUUUUUCAUUCACUUGAAUUUGAUAGUCAAUCUGUUGAAGAAUCAAAGGCUUAUGUGUUCCGUUCAAUUUAAUGUUCAUGAUUCAGCAUAAGUUGGACUGUCGAGUUUAAUUGUGUGCUCACACUUUAUAUGCAAAUUUACUUGUUUUCUGCAAACAUGAAGUGUGUUUGUUUGCGUAUGCUUGUAUUUCUGGAAUCUGGUCUAUAUUACAAAAGAGUUAUUUGUCAUGUUAUGCAGGGCAGCUGAUUCGAGUGUUAAUUUUCCUUUGCUAUGCAGGAUAUUGUGGAGGCCAAAGAAUUCUUGACAAGUAGAGGGGUAGAUGUUGGCUCUGAUUGAAGUGGAUUUCAUACUUGGAGCUGUUUAUGUGUUUUCACCUUAUACUGUGACUCCAGGAGUUUUCCCUACUCCCUCCUGGUCUUCAUUCAACUAUCAAUAGAGGGUUGCAGUUUGGGUUUUCUUUCAUGGAUCUUCCAGACUCAUUCAUAGUAGUCAGUUGUCAUUCCUUCUGUUAUAUAUCGCAUGACAUUCCGGAACGUGAAAGAAAAAUUUUAUCGUGUGAUCUACAGUUGGCUCUGUUCUUUUUGGGUAAAUUUCUAUUUACUAUAGUAACUGCGCAACUGUAUCUAUGAAAUCCUGCAGGGAAAUUUAUUUUGCUUGAACAGUAACUUCUUUCUUGCAAGACUGAGGCAAAGUGUCAUCAAAGAUUGCAAAAAAAUGUGUGCAUUCUAAUCUCUUUUUGCCAUCCUUCUGCCAUCACAUGACAUGUUGGGACCUUUUUCCUGUUCGUUUAUUCUUCUCUUUCUCUUCUUGUACGUCCUCCAUUAUUUUUUUUUCCUUCAGUCUCCUCCUCUUCUUGCCCAUCCUCCAUUAAUUUGUUUGUCAUCAUCUCUUUCUUCUUUUCUUCAUCGUUUUCUUCUUUAUACACUUUCUUCCUUGCUUUGUGGCACCUCACCUUUCUGGUCUUUUACAUUUUCUUGGUUCUCUUAUUUCUAGUCCUCUUUCUUUUUUUUUUCCUUCCUCCUAUUCAUUCUGCUUUAUCCUGCACUUUUUUUUUUUUUACCUUCUCGUCUUUUUUAUUUUUCUUAUUGUUCUGCAAGAUUAAGCAUUAUAGGAACAGUUUGAUGAGAAAGUUUCCUGUGUUGCCUCUGUGCAAGAAAUGAAGGCAUAAAGAGGAGGGAGUGGACAAGUGGGUCCCAUUUCAUGGGGCCACUCGGCGUCCAAUCAGGGGUCAUGUUUAGGUGGGACCAAAGUAAGAGUCCGAGUCUUUGGUCCCGCGGUCCAACGUCUGGGUCGAGACCGGGGUUAGUUGACCAAAUCUCCCAAAUCGCGCGACCGGGUCGAACCGGGAUUGGUUCGAUUUUAUAAUCAAGAUUUACGUAGACCGGUUCGGUUAUUAUGUUCAGGAAUUGAGUCGGUGUGGCGGUUCAAGAAGACCCGUACCCAUUUCUCUGCGUCAGUUCGGUUGUUCUCCGUAGGUCAUGGAUGUGGCGGCUGGCGAAGCUUCUGCCGCCCGCACCGCCGUCCUGUUAACCGGGGGCGGCUCCGUGUGCCCACCCCGGGAGGCCCAUCCGGCGGAACCCAAGGAUGGCGGCACGAAUCCGACAAGCCGAGGCGAGGUCGGUUCUUGUCAAGUAGCAACGAAGCCUCUAUCCGACGCGGACGAGCACAGGGGAAGGGAGGCGGAGGUGUCGUUGUUGGAUGAGAGCAAAUUUGACGUGAAUCUCCAGCUCUGGUCUCUCCGGAUUCCACGGGAACAUUGCACGUCCGUCGGCCGCCUCCUCCACGGGUGAGUGCUAUAACCGUUGAAAUAUACUUCAUUCUUCUUUACUAACUUGUUUCAUCCGUUUGGUAUGGUAUGCUGGAAUUCAAGAAAUAAUAUUUAUGAGUUGAAGAGAGAUAUGAACGAGGAAUCACGCGACGCACCAAUAUAAUUUGACGAAAAAUUUGUUUAGAAUCAUAAGGGAUGAACCUAUUCUUUGCCUAUAGGAUCACAGUGUAGCAUGCAACUGUAUUUGGACGCUAACGGAUGAAAAAUUGUGUUUGGUUGUCAACUAAAUGGAUUAUUAGUUAUUACGAUGUGAAAAACUAGAACACAGUGUAGCAUACAAAGUCAGAGGCCACCUAGGGAUGGAUCAAUAAAUCCUCACAGGAGUCUUGUACCAUAGAGUAUCUUGUAAGAGAAAUACAAUAUGACAACGUUCAUUAUAAGGAGAAGAAUUAGGGAAUUUAUGUCUUUAUUGAGUUUCAAUCAAUAUUUUAAGAGAUGGUGCGUAGUCACUUUGGGUCACUUUGAAUUGGUCAUUGUCAUUGGUGGUAGCAAGUCAAGCAUAAGAAGCUUACGACAAUAUCUUGCAGUGGAUUCAAGGCUUACAUGAAUGACUUACUUUCGUCAGUUGAGGUGCUGAAUUAUAUAUAUAAACUGAAAUGUGGAAAGCUGAGUUGACACAUCACAUAUGAAGAGAGUACAGCAUUUACAUUACUGUUGUAUAUUCCUUUAACAAUUGGCUGAUAUGAAGCAUCCCUGCAAAGUUGGUGAGACAUUGAUAGGACUUACCUAGGUCCAACGAUAGUUUAUAAAGCCAGUAACAAUUGUUCAUUGACUUGCACAAUGUUGUUCUUCUAGUAGGUUUUUUCAAGAGAGUUUAAAAUUGCUGGUGUAAACUGAGACAUUGAAUUUAAACCUAAAAAAAUCAGUUUCACUGUUUUGGCCAAUUUUGUUGAUUUAUGGUGCUAUUUCUAUUCAGUGUUAGUAGAAUCUCUAAUCACUAAUAUUAGGGUUCUCCUCCAAACAACUCUAGAACUGCUUGAAAUUUAAGAGGUUGCACAAGCUAUAUAUGGCCCAGUAUAAUCCUAUGCGACUAAUAUGUGGUCUGAACUCUGAACCCUAAUGACAUAAUGCAUAAGGGCAGAGUGGUAGGACUGCACAACCGAAGUGGAUACUUACAGAUCCAUUUCGGUGGAUUUACAAAUCCAUCUUUUAUCUCCAAAUGUGUUUCUUUUUACCUCCUAAAUCAUCUUUUUUAUUCACAGAAAUCUCUUGUUUUAGUUUUUGUGGCAGUUAAGUUGGUUACCAUAUUGAAUAGUGGAAACCAAAUGAGAAUUUUGGUCUAAGUAGCACGUUCAAGUCUUACAUUUCUUUUAGAAUUAGGUGAAGAGGAAUCCUAUAAUUGACCAAUUUGGAAGCCUCAAAGUUUAGCGUAAGUAGCCUACCUUUUUUUUGUGGUACUCAGGUAUCAUGUUUAGUGAUAUACACACCCAACUAAGCCAAAAGGAAGCUGCUAACAAAUUAAUGUACUCAGUUUGGCCAUAUAAAUUUCACUAGGCAAUCUUCGUUUUUAUGACACUAUAAGACAAGCAAGGAUUUAGAUAUCAAUCAAAUUUACCAGUCUGACCAAGUAUUGGUAUUAGAACUUAUAGCAAUAUAGUAUGAUGCUUUUUUUUUAAAAAAAAAUUCUCGUUGAAUUGAGUUAGCUUGAUACAGAACAUAUACAUUCCUUUUUUUGAUUAUUUUAUUCACUUAUAUGGGGCAAUACAGGUUGGUAUUCCAAUAGUUUACCAAAACUGGUGUCAGUCUGUAAUUUCAAUUCUUCAUAGCAAGAGAUUGUGAGACAAAGAGACAGCCAAAAUGACGACACUUUAUUUUGGAAUAGAUGUUUGUCUUUCUAUAGUAUCUAUGAUACUUAUCAUCCCCUCUACCAUCUAUCCAUUUUUAUGUAGGCUAUUGUCUUUUUUGCUUAUUUAAAUAUAGAUAGUUACGCAAUUAGUUAUUGGGCCAAUAUCUAGAAUGCACCUGCACUUGCGAAGCAGGCUGUCCUCACUUUUAAAGUAUGGAAAUGUUAUCCAUUGCAGAUAUAUGCUGGACAGAGCUCGUAUCAAACCCAUUGUUGAGGAUCCAACUAGUGAGAAAAAUCGUCUUGUCAUACUAUCUGAAAAGAUACAAAAUUCUGGUGAGGCUUUAUGCCUAAAUAUUAGAAGUUGGUAUUUCAUGCAGCUGUAAAGUCUAGUUUAUUUCUUGUGUUUAUUCUUUUUGCAAUUAUAUCUGUUAUGAUUAUUCAGAGAGACACUAGUCAGGAAAAAUUAAACAAAGGAACUAAGUCCCCCGAGAGUAUAGCAAUAUUUGUUUCUUUAUUUAGAGUAAUAUAUGCUGUUUCAUUGUUGUAUUUAAGCAUCUUCUCUCAUGUAUUUCAGCUAACAAUUUUAUCUUGUUUCUAGUACAGAUUUAUCUGAAAUUCCAAGUCAUGUGUUGGAUCCCCUAAAGGGUCUAUGCAACAUUGAAGCAGUGCCAUAUUCAUUAACACUAGGAUAUUCAUAUUGGGGUGCAGGUUAGUUGCAUUUGACACUCUUCAUGUUUAGUCACCUUAUUAACUGUAGUUCAUUGAUAUGGCUUUUUGCCCUGUUUCGUUGAGGAUAUACAAACAAUUAGGUGAUCAUGGAAAUAUUAGGAUUAUUACAAUCUCAUCCUUAAAUUUAAUUCCAGGUUUUCAUCCCACCAAAUUACGUUCUAUUAGCAGUUUUCCUAAGACCAUGAAAAAAAUAAAAUAUGAAAUGCCUUAUGUAAGAGUUAUUCUACGAGCCACCAUGGGUGAAGCAUUAAAGAGUAUGGCCUUGCAUUUGAUAAUACCCAUUUACCAAAAGGCAACGGCCUGGAGACCUUUGCAGUUCUUAGAAAACACUUGGUUGAUAAUUCAUCAAGUCUUGUAUUUUUCAGAACUACACAAAUGUGAAGAUGCUACUUUCUGUAACUAACGCUUGAUCUGUGAAUUUUGUGGACCUUCUAAGGAAAUAACUCACUACCUUAUACCCUUUGUGCAACUAAUUUAUUUUUUCCCCGUAUUAUAGAAUGUGACCUAGCGAAUUCCUUAAUUAUGAGACUCGCAAUUACCUUUGUACUCCACCACCAAAAUCAACAUUGAACCUCGUACUUCUUCCUGACAUCACCGCAACGAUCACUUACCAUGGGUGGUCUUCUUGCUACCUCCUUGCUGGAAUCCCUGAUGUUUUCCUACAUUGGCCAUUUACCUUACUUGCAAAACUUACACCAAUAUACCAUACUUCUUCCAGCCAAUGCUAUUUCCUGGCUUGGCCAUUUACCUUACAUUGGCCAUUUACCCAGUUUCGCCUCCAUCGUUACUUCUGCUACAUUUAUCUUCAUCACGUUUAACAAAUCAGGGCUGCUGCCACUUGCAGCACCACCUCCAUCUACAUCAAUGAUGAUGCCUUCUGCAACAACUAGGUUACCAUGCAUGCUGUCACUCACCAUUAUCAUUUGCCUGGUGUCGACCUCCAUAAUCAUCUAAUACAUUGCCAUUUUGGCCAGUGUAUCUUCAUGACUGCUGACAUGGCCUUAUUCUUCUUGUCAUUGCACCUAGUCCCUUGCUACAGCCUCCAUCUUUUUCUGCACCCAUAGACCAUUUCUGUCAUCUUAGCAUCCUGUUUAUUGCAGAUAAUGGGUGAACCAUCAGGAAGGUAGAAUGAUAAUCUGACAUUUUCCAAUUAAACUGAAAUUUCAUUAUAUAUCAAGUAUAUAGGGGAUUAAAGGUAAAUUUGAAACCUAGAAUGAUAAGCUGUUGAUAAUCUCUGGUUGUCUAACAUGCAUAUAGGAAUAAUUUGUUUUAAACCUUUAUUCUCUUGUUGCAGAUCAUAUUUUAAAGCAAAUACUACCCCAUGGAAUGGAGGUACCAACUUCCUUUGAAACAGUAGUUAAGUUCCUUUUAGUAUCCGUUGUUCUACUGCUUCUUAAGGUUUAUGCAAGUUUUUGUUAUCUAUGACUUAUGAAGAUGAUUAUUCACUUUGUCAAAAAUUCUUUAUUCUACUUUCGAAUUUGACUUUUCUAUUUGCAGUGUCUAAUUUGCUGAGGCUUGUUAUAUUAACAAAAUAUAUUCUUUCACUCUACAGGACAUGUUGCUCAUCUGAAUUUGACAGAAGACCAACUUCCUUAUAAGGAUGUCAUCGCAAAGGUUAUAUAUGAUGUAUGUCUUACUGAUUUUUUUUUCUUGUAUAUACCUGCCUCAUGCAGAUACUCUCUAAUCAUGAAUGAGCUUUGAACUUCUUGUUUGCAUCAUACAGCAAUAGACAGCUAUAUGUCUAAGGAGAUGUAAACAUGUACAAUGCCAUAAGUUUAGGGUUAUAAUCACAGAUAAAGAUAUUUAUUUUAACACCGUCUUUGUCAAUCCCCAGCUAAGGAUCCUCUCUUUGUGGUAGCCAAUCCCCUUCCCAACACCAUCCAACCCCAUUGAUGGGGUCAAAGUUAUCUUCCCAACACCAUUCCACCAACAACAUUUCCCAAUUUUUUCUUAAGCUUGUGAGCAUUUGACAAAUUAUGUAUGAAUAGCACUGUUGUUAAAGAACAACCAAGAAGUGUGCCUAUGCUGGAGCUAUAUUUUAAACCACUCACUGGUGAGCUAAGAUGACCAAUCAGUAUUACUGUUCUUAGGUCAUUCACAUAUCAUAUGAUGUGAGGUACCUGGUAUAAUGCAAAACCACAUUAAUUAGUGUAACCAUCACAUUUUGUCUCUUUUUUCUGUUGCACCAUACUUGAUAAAAAGUCCAUACAUCAAAAGUCAAAUAGGAAUGGCUUAACAGUGUCAAUAUCUAAUUGCAAAAAUACAUAGGUGCACAUGUAUAUUAGACUAUCAUACUUUUUGUUUCUCUCAUCAAAAGAACAGACUUACCAGUGGAUAAUGUUAGAUAUGCUGAAUCCUAGAAUUUCUGGAGUUAGCUUAUCUAAUUAAGGACCAUUCCAAUAGCAAAUAUUAACAUAUAAUUAUGUAUAACUGCUCCUAGGUUGGUGAGCACCUUAAAACAGUGAACCCCUAGUGUAGAAGUUAUGUGCACCCAAGUUAGAUUAGCACAUGUAUCAUCUGACCUGGAUGAACAACUGAUACUUGUUUGCAAAAGUUAAUGUAUUGCUUGUCCUGCCUCCUUCCUACCAGAAAUUAUUAACUUUAGAUUCCUCUCUCUCUCUCUCUCUCUCUCUCUCUCUCUCUCUCUCUCUCUCUCUCUCGUUCAUGGUGUAUCUGUGUUUCUUCACCUGAUCAUUUCAAGUGUUAUAUAUGCACAGCAUGAUAUUCCAAUUGCUCCUUUCCCAUUAUCAACAGUGAAUAGGAAUUAUUUGUGCUGAAUGCUAAUAGCAUUCUUCCUUUGAUUAUUUUGCAAAAUUAAAUUAAGAUUUGUGUAAUCUCUCUUUUAUUGCUCCUACAUGCAGAAAAAUCAGCCAAUAAUUCAAACUGUGGUGAAUAAAAUUGGAACCAUUACAAAUGAGUUUCGAGUGCCAACUUUUGAAGUUCUAGCAGGAAAAAGUGAUAUGGUCACUGAAGUAAAGCAGUAUGGUGUUACAUUUAAACUUGAUUAUAGCUUGGUCUAUUGGAACUCGAGACUUGAACAUGAACACAUUCGCUUGGUUUCAUUGUUCCAAAGAGGAGAGACAAUUUGUGAUAUGUUUGCUGGAAUAGGUCCUUUUUCCAUUCCAGCAGCACGAAAAGGUUGCCAUGUAUAUGCAAAUGACUUAAAUCCUGAUAGUGUUCAUUAUCUACGGAUUAAUGCAAAUAUUAACAAGGUAGAGGACCGUGUUUUUGCAUAUAACAUGGAUGCAAGGGCUUUCAUGCACCAUGUAAUGACAGUGCCCGAUUCUGAUGGUAUGCAAAAAACUGGAGAAGCUGUUUCAAAUGAAGAUCAUUACCACAAAUUAGCAACCGAUGAAAAAGAAGGUACGGAUACCGGAGGAAUUCAUAACUAAGUCAAGAAUAGGUGCAUGUGUUUUCCCCUUCACUCCUACAAUAACUGUUAACCAUAUUGUAGUUGUUACCCUAGAAAUGCUCAAUGCUGGAAAAGAUAAUCAAGAUUCUGUAAAUGGGUCAUCUGUAAAAAAAAAAACUGCUGUUAAAAGACAGCUGGACAAGGCUAGCGAAGGUAUGUUUGCUGAAUGUGUAUGAGUAUUUAUUUAAAUUCAGAAAAUUUUCGUGUUAAAUAACUCCAUGUUCCUGCUAUAAUGGUCCCUGUCUAGCCUGUCAAACUGGUGUCUGAAUUAAAACAUCAGUAAUUACUUUUCUGCUACAACUUAGACUAAUAGCACUAGUCUUAAACUUUGUAUUGUUAUGUGAUGGACUCUUAUUGUUAACAUAUAGUUUUCAAAAUAGUAUGGAGAUCUUGAUUACCGAAUAUUGCUAUUGAGAAACAAGAGCGGAAGUCUUUUUCUAUUGGCAAUUUUGCCUGUAAUUAGAAUUUAGAAAGCAUCUCUUAUGAAAUACUUUCUUUCAUGUAGACAGGGUGAAACCGAUUCUUUUUUCCUUUACAUACUGAGCACACAAGUAUGACAGACCUUAACAUAAUAUGAUACCUCAAGAGCUGCCUAAUUAAGGAGAUCCUUUCUGAGGAGUGUAGUCACACAUCUCCUUGCCUCACUUCUGGCAUCUUGAGUAUCUUGUAGUAAUAAUUGUGGAAAUUACCAUUGAGAAAUAUUUACCAUCCUAUUGGCCUUCCAUUCUUGUUAUAUAGUUAUGGUUUCUUCUUUAGAUCAAAUUGCUGAAGAGAGAUUUGUAAUUGCAGUGUUUCAGGGAAAUAGGAAUACCAACAAGAGAAUCAGAGGCUUCCAUUUAACAGUGUUUAGGCCAUGGGAGCAUGUUGACCAUGUAAUCAUGAAUCUUCCAGCUUCUGCUUUGGAUUUUUUAGGUGAGCUUUUGUUUUUAUCAUUUUUAGUGGAAUUGUGAAUGAAAUGGUUUGGCCAGCUAACAUAUACAGAAUGUUAUAAGGUUCAGUACCAUUGGUUAUGCAGUGAUUAAAAUUUUUAGAGAACAGAUAUACAUAUCUACAUUGGCUGUCUAAUAUAUUUUACCUCCAUCUCCUUGAUGAAUACACCUAAACCUAUUUCGGUCCUGUUUGUAAAGUUGAUAGAUCUUCGAUGGCUCGUGCAAUUCCUAGGCAGCUAUUUUUUUAUGUAGGUUUGUCUCUGAUGAGGUUAUCAUUAUAAUAUCUAGUAAGGUUAGUAUUACUUGGUAUUUUGUUCACUUGGAUUAUAUCUACUUGGUUACUUGUGAAAUAUGACAAAUGCAUGACUAUUAUUGUUGUAAUCUUCUUGACUAAUGGUGAAUGACCAAACAGGUGUCUUUAAGGGCCUUAUUCAAAGGGAACACUGGAGGGGGUCUUUACCUUGGAUACACUGCUAUUGCUUCAUUCGAUCAACUGAAACCAAAGAAUCAAUAUUAUCUGUGAGUCCUUCACACGUGAUUUAUGAUCUUGUAUUGUUUGUGUUCUUGUACUUUGUAUAAGCUAAUUCUGAAAACUUUCUAAUCAACUAUUUUACCUUCUCAAAUUGAAUAAACUAAAAUAUCUUUUCUUUCUUAUUGAUCCUCAAAGCUCAGGAUAUUAGCUUCCAAAAGUUUAAUCAUUCAAAGUCUAUACCACAGUUCACAUUAGACAUCUUAAUCAAGCCAUAAAGGGGCUUGCAGUUCAAAUCUUAGUAUUUCUCUAGUGUCUUUCCCUGCUAUUUUUGUUAAAUUUUAUUUAAUCAUGCAAAUAAGGAACAAAGAAAGUAACUAACUAUUAGUUAUAUAAGAAAGUAACAGUCAGGGGAUGUACACAGAGGGAACUACAUCCAGUUGUAUUGUGAAGCUAAGGUUUUUUAUUCGAUCUUGGUACUGGAUAAGCCUGUGUGCUUACAGUUUGUACUUUGUAAGUAUUACACCAGUUUCAGUCGGGAACUGCUGGAAGCUAAUUAUAAUAGCUGCAAGGAUAUUUUAGAUUACAAGAAGGUUGGAACCAACUCGCUGUGCUUCAAUGGGUAAUUCUUUUUGUGUAAGAGUAAAAUUUCACUGAGGCACCUACAUUUGCAUAUCUGAUGCAGAGAGGACUUAAGAUUUUUAGUCAGAUUCACUGUCGGGCUUGUGCAACACUUGAUAAAAGAAAUCUGCUGGUAACUAUGCCAAGUUGUUGGUUCUUUCCAAAAUUUACUGAAUGACAUGUGAAUCUUUGUCCUAUUGUCAUUUUUAUCCUGUAGUCACUAGACAUAACUUUUGUUAACCAUAUCCUAUAGUUUGGAUCUUGGCACAAUGAUAGGUACACAGAUGUUUUUAAACUUGAAAACAGUAACCUAAUUGUGUCCCUCUUUAGCCAAAGACCAAAUAUAUCAAUAAUUCUUCUUUGGGGUUUAGGCAGGGUUUAAACAACUACAUGCAGUGCAUGUGCAGGACAGCGACUGUAUAAUACAUUCCAUUAUGUGUUACUACUGAUCAUGUCAUACAAGGCCUUUGCAUGAAAUGUAUUCCGAGUCAUAUUUUUGGCUGGCACCUUACUUUUGGUUUCUAAGAAGGUUUUCGAAUUGGGAUGGUGAUCGUGCCACUUAUCCAGAAAACAGAAAAAGUUGGAUUGUUUAAGAGGAUAUCGCUUAAACAAUUCAGUUGGUUUUAUUGAUCUCAGGUGGAUUCUAAAGAAUAAAAUCUAACAAUUCAAAAUCUGAUAGCUUAUUGUAAGACAUCAUCUAGAUUCAACCUUGGAUAUACUUAGGUAUAUAGAGAAGUUGUGAAAUAAAGAUUUAAUUUGGUUUCUUAUUCUGUUUGACAAACUAAUAAAUCUAAGAUAUCCAAGAAAACCAAUGGAUAGAGGAAAAUCUUUUGUGGUGCAUGUAUACAAGAACAAAUAUGAUAUCAAGAGCAAAAUUUUAAGAAAUUAUAGUUCCUAGCUAUAAAAGCUUUAGGAAAGAGCUCAAUUAAGCAACAAAUAAGAUGUCAAGUCAAUGUUCGAUAAAACUACUAUGGUUUCAUGUUAAAAAGAACCACCAUAUAAUUUUGACUCUUUCCUAAUGGACAAUUGAUAAAAGGAACAUAGAGAAAAGAAGAAAGAAUUGCACAUAAUAUUUGUUUGCUUGAAAGGUCAUCAUAAAAUAUGUUGUUUUUUAGAAAGAAAGAAAGCCUGGAAAGAUACUUUAAUUUGAUUUGAAUAUCUAUGAUGGAGCAAUUGUAUAUGGACGAUAUAGGGUGAGACAAUUGACCUUUUGAUUACUACAUGUUGCACCACACCGCAGAUUAAUUUCUAUCUGUCUGCAUUAUUUGUGGAUGAAUCUAAUGAUCUUGUUAAGAUAAGUUGGUUUAUAUUUGCUGCUAAUAGUAUUUGAUUAAUGAGAGUAGCAAAUAUGUCAAAUACAGCAGAUUCUGGUAUAUCAAUGUAAAGAAGUGUUUGAUACUAUAACAUAAAGUAUGAUUUGAUUCAAGGACCACUGUUUUGGGUAUCGGACCCGUAUCACUGUUUGGGUCAUACCCAUACAUGCCACUUAGUAUCGGUGUACCAAUAUCUGGUACACCAGUACGUACUGGUGAUUUGAAAAGAAAGAACUCAAAGAGAAAGAUGUAGAAGGAGAAGAGGAAGGGGUGGUGGAGGAAGGGAAGGAAGGAGGAGGAAGAAAGAAGAGGCGACGGUGAAGGAAGAGAAAGAAAGAAGAGAAGAGGGAGGAAGAGAAAGAAGAGGAGGUGAUGGAGGAAGAGGACGAUGAAGGAGGAAGAAGAGGAAGAGGAAGAAAGAGGAGGAGAAGAAGCAUGCACUGGUAGGUGGCGGCGGUGUGCUGUGGCGAUGUGCGGCAAAGGAUCUCACGAUGGGUCCAGCUUGAGCAUGAGACGCCAUUAGGACACAAGCAGAUGCAUUUUAUUUAAUAUGGCGAACUGGACUGCCCCCGUUUGAGUGGUCCUGUGUAUCGAAUUCAUACUGGGACCAGUACAUUAGCUUGUUUUGUAUCGGUCUGGGCGAAACAAUGUUCCCUUGUUUGAUUCAUUGAUCUCAACAAAAACUAACAAGGGCAAGUUCCACAUUCAUUGAAAAAUAUUUGAAAUGCAUUUAAAACUGAAGUUCAGAAAAUUCAGAAAGCAAAAGCUUUUGGUAUCUUUUAUCUGCAUUCAACAAAAAGAGAAGGUUGAAAAGGAUUUUUUUCUCUUAUAUUAUGAAAGCAAACCAUUUAAAAUAGUGCUUGGACUGACCAUAUUGAGGUGCGCCAGGCAUGCCAUAUUUUAUCGGCAUGGAGUUUCAUUUGGUGUUACAGGUGUAUUGGCACCCCCUUUCAUCAAAUUUGGCUUGUGUUGGUUGGUGCAAAGCCCAUGAUAUACUGUGUCAGUAUGUUGCUGCAAGGACAUACUGAUAAAAUCAAAUUCUUGGUUUAGACUUCGGAUUGGUGGUAUCUGGAGAGGUGGUGGAAACUAAGAAGGCUUGAUCAGAGAUAAUAGUGAAAAAUGUGAUGAUCCUUGGAUUGUCUACUGAUGUAGCCAUCAAUAAAGCUACAUUGAGGAUAAUCUUUGUGGCUAAAUGAGAUCAGUGUCUUUUUGCUGCCACUAUAUGAUUUGCCUAUGUCAGCAUACCUGGAAUUGUCUAAUUUCUCCUAUCAUACACAAUACAUUUGCAUUACGUUUGUUUUCUUUUUUUCUUUUCAAUACAUCGAAAGCAUUCUUCCGGUUGUACCAAUUUUUUCAUUUGAAGUGGAAGGCCAACCUACAGUCUUUUCAUAAAUAUCUGCUCAAAUUGUUGCAGCACAGUUUCUUUAAUUCAUUUAUUUAGUGAUUUUGAAAAUUUUGAUCUCUUUCUUUUGCAGAAAGCAGAGUCUCUUUUGAGUACUAAGAUUGCAGACCCAAUUUUCCAUCGGGUCAGGGACGUUGCCCCCAACAAGGUAUUAACAUACAUUGUUUACUUUUCUAAAUAUGUCAGUUUUCAAUUCCAGUUCUCAUUGUGGUCACAGCUUAGGAAGGCAGACCUAGCAUGGGCCUUAGAAUCCAAGCAACAUACUCCAUCCAAUUACUGUGACGACUUAAAAUUAUCAGGAGUUAAAUCUUCGAUUAUUUAUUUUCUUUUAUCCUGUUGAUCAUAUUUCUUUGUAAUAACCUGCAAAGAGCCUGAUUUUUCUCAUUAUCUUUUUGCAUUAUUUUUUGAAUUGCAUAACCUUUUCUCCCUAUUAUUAUGUUUUCAGGCUAUGUUCUGUUUAAGCUUCAAGCUACCAACAGAGACCUGUUGCCGAGAUGUUAAUAACGUUGGUGCUGAAUGAAAUAGCUUGAUAUGGAUAAAAUAACUAUAUAAUGAGUAAACUUUGCCGGAGAUGUAUCAGCGCCCAACGGAAGUUUGACAGUAUUGAACUAUAUACCAGCUUUAUAGUGUCGGAUGUAUCUUUGACUAUAACUAUGAUUGGAAAACCAUGAAUUCUAACCUAGACAAGAGGAUAUCGCUUAAACAUCUGAUUUAGCUUUAUUUUGUGUGAAUUGAGGAAGGAAAGGCAGACAUGAAAUGUUUCUGUGACUGUUGACAGGAGUAUAUCACUUAAACAUCUGAUUUUUAGCUUUAUUUUGUGUGAAUUGAGGAAGGAAAGGCAGACAUGAAAUGUUUGUGACUUUUGAGAAGAGUGUAUCACUUAAACUUCUGAUUUAGCUUUAUUUUGUGUGAAUUGAGGAAGGAAAGACAGACAUCACAUGGUUACAGAUAUAUUAUUGUAGGAGGAGACCAUCCAAAGAUCAUGGACAGAUAUAUUAUUUGUAGGAAGAGACCAUCCAACGAUCAUGGACUAGUUUAUGAAAGGCCACCUUUGACCUCAUUUCAAUCAUCGGCAUUUGGAAUCCUUCCACCACUUCUUGUCGAACGGAAGUAGUUCUUUUCUGCCAAACCAUUGUUGGCCAAUCCAGCGUUAGAAGACCAUGCAGAAUGAAACUUGGCCUUUGUCCAAGUUUGAGAUCGCCAGAGAUGAACGCGAACAACACUCUGAGGAGAGGAAGGUGAUGUUCUGAUGUGGAUGGUUGCGUCCACGAAACCUUCUCUCCCUCUGUAAAUACCCCACAAGUGGAGGUCAAUGGCGCAUCGAGGGAUUUCUACGACAAUAGCAACACCCGGUGGCCGUGCGUCGCGGGGAAGAACUACCACGGCCACGGCCCUCUUCAGCUCUUGUGGAACUUCAACUACGCCUCGCCGGCAACAGCAUCGGGUUCGACGACCUCGACGCCCUGGAAACCAUGGCCAAGAACCCGUUGUCUCCUUCAAGACGGCCCUGUGGUUUUGGAUGAACAACUAUCACUUGCUCAUGGCUUCCGGCUAAGGAUUUGUGCCCACGAUUCGAGCCAUCAACGGUGACCUCAAAUGCGACGGCAAGAGUCCAUUAAAGUUUCUUUGUAGAUCGAUAUCGCUACAACUUACGGAUCCGAUGAUGGUAUGUUUGUAGAUCAAAUAAAUAUUUUCUGAAUGAUAUCGAAAGGUAUGAAAUCCUGAUAUUGGUAUAUUGUUAUUUGAUUUCGAUUCUAACAUUAAAGUUUUUUUCUUUGCAUAAUAGUAGCACAAUUAUAAUUUUUAUAGUUACAAUUGAUAUCAGAGUCGAAAUCAAAUACCUUAUAUCAUAAAAAUAUAUUAGAUCUGCCUUGUAUUUAGAUAUGUUUAUUAGUGCUCUUCGCUUUUGAAAAUAUCUUAUUCGGUUUUGAUUAUAUAAUGCUUGAACGAUCCAUCUUUGUUGUUGAUAUGUUUUUCUAUCUCAUCUAUCCUAUCCGAUCUCUUCUUGGCUGCUCACGGGCGAUGUAAUAUCCAUGCAACCAUGACAAAUUGCUUGUAUUUGUUUGGCGGAUUAUUGUUGGCAGCUUGUUACAACAACUCUAUUGAGGACAGCGACCUCCAUUGGUUGUUGGCCCUAUCGCGAGCAAUGAUUACGUGGAUGGCAAUCGUCACUGCGUCGAUGCUACCUGUAGAAGUCUAGGUGGCAUGCCUUCGUUGCUGGUGACUGCACACAUAGUGGGGCUGUUGUGCGUUGUAUCAAAGCAAGGCAGGGUGCUGUCUUUGAUUGACGAUGGUAGCAAUGACGUUGCGGUAGUGUCUAUUGGUUAUGAUCGAUAUUGAUGAAAAGCCGAAGGCCGUAGUUUAUAGUGGCUAUGUAAUGACCGCAAGGGUUGUUGGUUGAUGACGAACACAUGCGAUUGAUGAGACUUGCACGACGAUAAAAACCGCGCAUGAGAGAAGGGAACAUCGAUGAGGGAUUGCCUAUGAACAACGGUCGACGAGCGAUGGUUGCACUAUGUCAUUGAACAAUAUUGGCUAACAGUAAAGAUCAGUUGGUUGCGCACAUGGGUUCCAUGGAAGGGAGUCGUUGAUUAGUCGCGUAGGGAAUUCGGGUCAGCAGGAAACGAAUGGCUAUGCAUCAUAAUGAUUAUAGGUAACAAAUUGUCGCGCACCAGUGGUCGCAUUCCUCACCUAGGCUAUGACAACCGAAAGGGAUUAGUUUUGCCCUUAUGAACUUUUUUAAUUUCAAUCGGUGUCCUUUUAAUAAUUACGUCCUUGAAAAAUUAGAUAUUUUUAAUAUAUAUCCAAAAAUUAUAGUUUCACCAUUCAAAAAUCAAAUAUUUCUAACUUGUCUUCUCAACUAUAAAAUUGAUAAAUGUGAUUUGUUUUAAUCAAAUAUUUUUACUGGACUUGAUUCUAACUAUAUUUUCACUACUUGAUUGGAUUUAGAUUCGAUCAAUCUCAUUUUGAUCGAAUUUGAAAAAAACUAAAUUUUGAUUAAUUUUUGACUUUGAUCAAUUUUAGUAUUUGGCUAACCUAAUUGGGUUAAUAUUUAGCGAGCCUAUCUAAUUAAAUAAGGUUGAUUGGUCUAUACGAAAUUAAAAAUAUAAAUUAUAAUUUUUUUAUAAUUUUCUCAUAUGAUAUAUUGAUAAAAAAUUUGCUUGUGAUAAGUAAAUUUCAAUUAUUGUUCCUAGAUAUUUAUGUAAUUAUUCGCAUGCAUAUGUUUAAUAUUAUGAAAUAAUAUUUAUUUUAUAUAAAAAAUAUGAUUUAUGUUUUAUCAUAACUAUAAUUAUUAUAUGAGUUUUCUUUUAUACUAAUUAAUAUUUAAUAAAUAUUAUGAUUAUUAUUUUAUUAAUAUUAAACUAUUUCUGUAUAUAUUAGAUUAAAUAAUAUUUGGUGAAUAUUAUUUAUAAUUUAUAUCCUUAAGUUUUAUUUAACUUGUAGUUAUAGGAUGAUAGACUUAUAAGAUAUGAAUUAGAAUAAAUACUUUAUCAUUUAUAGAAUAUUUUAAAUUAUUAUAAUGGUCUUGUAGUCAUCAAAGUGGCCUAGAUCAUUAAGUUAUAAAAUUAUAUUAAAAAUUAUUCUUAAAUAAUAAUAAAAAAUAAUAUUAGUAAUGACACAUAAUUAGAAGAUUUAGAUAAUCACAAAGAAGAAUAUAUUAAAAUAAUUAUGUGAUAAGGUAAGAUAAUAUUAUUUUGGAUAUCCUUAUAAUUUAUGGUUGCAUAUGUAACGGUAACAAUACUAUUUCACAAGAAUAAUAUUAGUCAUCCAUAAAUAAUUUUGAGUGAAUAUUAGAUAUAUUAAUAUUUUAUCCAAAGGUAAAAUAUGAAUGAUAUAAAUAAUUCAUCAUAUUUAGAAAUUUAAAAUAUUAAUAUUAUUUUAUAAUUUAUAGUGUUAUUUUCUCACAUACACUUUUAUAUUUUUAGUAUUCAUGUAUUGUAUAGUUCAAAUUAUUUGGAAUAGUUAGAGUAUAUGCAAUUCAGUGUAUUAAAUUUUAAUUUAGUAUUAUUUAUUGAAAGAACCCUUAAUUGAUGAAAGCUCCAGCGAUUAAAUUAAUAAAAUGAAUGCUUGGAAAAGAUUUAAUAGGCUCAAUCUAAUGUUUAUAAGAAUGAUAAUUACAAAUAACAUAAAGAUUUUAUUACAUCAUAUAACUAGUGCAUAUGAGUAUACGAGCAUAUAAAAGAUAUGAUGAUUGCUUAUUACUAAAACUUUAUAGCAUGAAGUGUUUAAAGAAUAUGUUCUUAAAAUGCUGCUUAUGAGCAAAUCAUAAAAGAUAUAAUGAUACAUGUUUAAGCAUAUAUUGUUAUUGAUAUUUUCUUUAUUUACUUAAUUAAACUUAUUUAUUUCUAUUAUUCUAUUUAUAUUUAUGUUUAUGUAUAUUAUGAUUAAAUAUGAUAAUAAAAUUAUCUUGACAAGACAAAUUACAUGAGUCAUAGGUUAUAUUAUGAAAGAUAAAUAAUGUUAUAGUACAUAAAAGGACGUAUGACAUUGAUGACAUAUAACUAUUAUGACUUGUAUUGAUAAUCGAAGUUAAUAUAGUAUUAUUGAACUUAUUAGACUUAUCAAAUUAUUUUAAAAAAUUAUGCCAAUAUAUAAAAUACUUUUCAAAAAAUUUAAAAUCUAAUUAGGCAAAUUUAUUUUUAAAUACACUUUUAUUUAUUUAUUUUGAUUUUAAAUUUCUUUUAUAUCUUACUAAUUAAUGAGCUAAAUGGAAGAAUGUUAGAUUAUAUGGUUAUAUUUAAUUAGGUAAGAUAUAUUAUAUAUUUAAUUAAAUUCUUAUUAUGAUUAUCAACUAAUAUAAAGGAAGUCUACUUAUGAUAGGAUUCCGUAGGAGAUGAACUUUUUGUGAGGGACUCUUCUAAUUACCAUCUUAGACUCUCUACUCUUACGUAUAAAAAGAUAAGACUUUUUAGGGACAAAGUACCAUAAACUAAGAUUAUAGAUCUAUUUUUAAUCUUCCUUGGUCCCUAUUUGAUCACUUAUAAUGGUCUUGUAAAAGAUAAAAGGGAAGAAGAUGAAUCUAGUUUUCCUUGUAGAUCGAUAUCGCUGUAGCUCAUGGAUCUGAUGAUGGUGUAUUUAUAGAUAAGAUAAAUUUUUUUUGAAUGACAUCAGAAAGUACGUAAUCCUGAUCUUGAUCUAUCGUUAUUUUAUUUUGAUUUUGAUGUUAAUUUUUUUUUGCAUAAUAGUAAUAUAAAUUUAAUUUUUAUACUUAUAAAAUAAGCUUUCAAUCUUUAGAAUCUCAAUACACCAUGUGAUAGGGUUCACUUGAGUGAAUAAAGAAGAGAGUAGAUAAGAGAAUAAUCUCUUCCUUUAUUAUACGUGCAGAGUCAAUAAUCUUUUGCAUUUCUCCAUCUAAAUUUGAGUUGCAAAGCUGCACAAUCUACUAAUUAUCAAUCAUAAGGUCCAUAAGCUUACAACAUUUGAGGUGCAGAAGCUUACUAUUCAUCGUAGAAUGUUCAUCAAAGUUUCAAUACACAACUCCCCUUCAGAGAGAAAAGUUGGAUACAAUCAACUUAACAUUGCAGGCAUAAGAAGAAAAAGAAGAAAAGUUCAUAUGGACUGUCACUCGCGAGCGAUGAUGACCAACUGCUUGCCAACAUUUCGACCAGCAAAGAGGCCUACAAGUGCUGCAGGGGCAUUCUCAAGUCCUUCAGCUAUGUCUUCCACGUACACGAUCUUCCCUUCCUUUAUGUACUGCACUACCUUCUCCUCAAAUUCCCGGUAGCUGCGGAAGUGAUCGAAUACAAUGAACCCCUGCAUGCGGAUGCGCUUCGUGACGAUGGCGAACAGGUGGUUCACACCUUCGGGUCUUUCGACGUUGUACUGAGAAAUCAUUCCACAUGCGGCAAUUCGGCCAUUGAGCCUCAUGUUGCGGAGAACAGCUUCAAGCAUCGCACCGCCGACGUUCUCAAAGUAGAUGUCGAUGCCCUCUGGGAAGCACCUGACAAAAACAUGUUUCCAUGAUAUAGAAUGAAAUGCUCUUUUAGCUGGAGAAGGUUAAGAAGUCUACUCCAUGGCCAGCUUAGGCUCGAACAAGAAAGUUGUCUUGGGAAAUCGAAGUUUUCAGGGACAAUUAGAGCAUUAGGAAUCAAACAAAGGUUCACUUUGAAGUUUUCAGGGACAAUUAGAGCAUUAGGAAUCAGACAAAAGUUCACUUCUAAUACAGCGUUGAUUACAACAGAUCAUGCAUUUCAUGCAAAGAAAAUGGAUGCAAGAGCCUGACAUAUGACCUUCAAAAGACUGAAUUCUGCACCAACAAGUGACUUACCUUCUCAGAGCUUUAUUCAGAUCAGGUUCUUUCUUAUAGUUGAAAGCCUCAUCAAAGCCAAACUUGUUUUUCAGUAGAUUGACCUGAGAAAAGAAAUGCAGAGGAAGAGUGAAAAGUUGAAAGACGAACAUCCCCGAGUUUUAUGCGCAUAUGAGAAUAUUAAGACAUAAUAGACAUUUACAAACAUGAGACAGUAUCCAUCAGAUCAUAGGAUCAGUUUGCCAUGUGAGAACCAUAUCUUGCCCUCCACUGGAUACAGGUUUUGAACAAAGUGUGAGUUUCAAUAGUAAUGCCGAUUUAACUUGAUGCAGUAUUAGUUUUCGGUCUUAUGCAUCGGCACUUGAUGAUCGAUCGGUCUUAAAAAACUGGCUUGCAUCAUCAAAGAUUAACAUGAAUGAUUUACAUGUGCAUGCUACCAUCUGGUUAGAGAAGUAAACAGAAUCCGAUCAAACCUUUUCGUCAGAGCCAGCACUUCCGACGACAUAACAGCCCAUUAGCUUUGCAAAUUGCCCCACGAGCUGGCCAACAGCACCAGAUGCUGCUGAUAUGAAGACGCGUUCCCCCUUCUUAGGGGAGCCAAUCUCGUAGAAUCCUACAUAUGCUGUGAAACCUGGCAUGCCUGAAGACCAAAAUACAAAAGAUGAUAUUAUAAAGUGUCUCAAGCACAGAAUUCAUGGUUUAAUGGAUGUUCAAGAUGUUACUUCCUCGAGGAAGAACCAAAGUACUCACUUAGUGAGCUUAUACUCGCGUUUCUUGGCAAGCUAAUAUAUAUGGCUUUUAAAGCAUCGAGUAUGUGAGUAUAAGCUCACUUCCAAAAAAUAAGAUGGAUGGAGAAAACCUUCCAAAAAAUAUAAAUUUUAGUUUGUUGGAUGGAGAAAGCCUUUUAAAAAAAUAAGGUAUGUGGUUUACAAUACUAAAGAAAAAAAUUCAUAAUUGCAGUUAAAGAUUCAAAGCUUUUGCUGCAACCAAAAAUUUUUGGUACCCUGAACUGAAUGUAUCGAUAAAAAUAGAUGUUUCUUUUGCUUCAAGAAAGGAGUCCCUUUGCUUUGUAUUCUUUCUUUCUAGUGUUAAAUGUGUUAUGUGAUGCAUUUGAAUAGAACUUUUCCUUCAAAAUGCUUUGUCGUUGUUGGUGUUCACCCUUAAAGACACACAAUCGAUUAUUCUGAUAAUCGAUUAUGUUUCUGACUUCUGCUUUGGUGAACUCAGAUUACGUUUCCAAUAGUUUUAGACCAUCUCGACAUAUUCUUUGAUAGAAAUUUAGUUUAGAGAUAUCAGUUUUGUAUAAAUAGGACAUCUUUCUAUCAUUACCAAGAGAAGUAUCUAUCCUCUAUUCAAAUCAAAUCUCUUUGGUUGCCUCAAACAUCAUGAGUCGACCUUAUAUCUCAAAGUCAAAAGUCACUCAACAGUAAAUUAAAAAAUGAACUGAAAAUCUUACAUUCACAUAAUUUCUUAUUAAUAAUCAUCUAAUUGUUAUCACUUUGAUUAUAUUAGGUAGCAAUCAAACACGUUUCCGAUCGGAAGUAUAAACACUUUAGAUAGGCCAUGCAUACAUUGGCAACAUGAUCACCAAAUUAUAUUUUGUUGCAGAAAGAAGAACAUACAAUUAAUUACCAAGUAAAAUGACUUGUAAUGACAGAUAUACAAGAACCAGCAACUCACCAAGAAUACCAGUAUAGUAAGAAAGAGGCACAUCGGUGUGGUUGAUCUUGAAAAGUCCCUCUGUUGAUGUCAUGAGGCUAUACUCUUCCCAACCGGUGAUACCCCACACAUAGUCGCCGAUCUUAAAAUCAGGAUGCCCGGAGUCCAAAACUUUGCACACACCAUAGCCGGUUAUCGGCUGCACGCACGACACAAACAGGGCAAUCAUGAACGAAAGGAGAAAAUGUCAUCUAAAUCUAAAUAUUCAAAUAGAAUUAACCAUAGCAAAAUAUUAAGUUAAUGGGUUAUUUUUACUUGGGUUUGGCACUAUGAUUUCUCUAAAGAGCUCUGGAUCCUUGGUCAGCCCCAUAAAUCCCGAAUGGUAGGUAGGUAUGAACCAUAACCUAAAACCUCUCCAUGGCCACAUGAGCAACAGAUGGACCAAACUAGAUUAUCGCAGAUAAUUGUUUGGGAGUUCAUAUGUCUCUUCGGAGAGGGGUAAAGGAAAAAUCUAGGGCAGCACAAGCAGGCUCUCUCUCCAUCGGUCUCUUUUCAGCAACACCAUCACCAUUCUUCUUCUCUGUUUCUGCACUCGAUCUCUGUUCCACCAAACCUUAGAGACCUUGCAAUCAACAUAUGGUUUCCUCCUUUCCCUAACCAACAUCAUCGAUGCCCUAGGGGAAAAAGACCAUCCGAUUCCCUAAAAGCAUAGACAACCUUCACAUGGUAACAACACUAAUUAUCUCCUCCGCAUACACACAAGUACUCGUUUAUCAGUCAUAAAGAACACAGAACGAUGAGCUACAUCAUAUCGAGAGAGAGAGAGAGAGAUAGGCAAUGGGGUGUUGCAGAAUGGGUGGUACGGUACCGUGCCGGGGACGAGGUCAUCGACAUAGCUGGGCUCAUCGUGCUUGGUCAUGCGAGAGCGCAUGUAGGGGUCGCAGGAGAGGUAGAGGUUCUUGACGAGCACGGCCGUCGACCCCGGAGGGAGCCGCAACCGGAGGGUGUCCGUCGCCACCAGCUCCAUGUCGCUCUCCGUGGCCGGCCCGUCCGGGAUGUAGUGCUUCAGCACCACCUUCUUGUUCACGACCACCUUAUCCUCCAUCUCUCUCUCUACUCAGCGAUGUGAUGAAUCGAGAGACUCCCGUGUUGGCCUCUUUAGAAGGAUCAAUGCGAAGGUUUCAAACGUGCGUCGAACGCGACCUGCUCGUUCUACGUGGAACACGACGUCCACAGAAGCGGAGAGUGAUUCUAGUCGAUGAAGGUCUCAGAUCCACAUGAAUCGUACGCCACAGUGGAUGUCGGUUCGAGUAAGUCAAACGGACACACGUCACACGAUUUGGUCUACUCAUAUACUAACUGAUGGCGUGGGAUCAUCUGGUCCACACACUACUGUACCACCGUCCUGCAACCGCAGGAUCACUGGCGUCAGCUAAUUCCACAUUAUAUAUAUUAUAUAUUAUAUCCUCUCUUUUUUUUGUCUUUUCCAAAUAGUAUUCCUGAUUUAAGAAAUACCUAAAAAAUACCCCUUCUUUUCCUCCUCCCUUCUUUUUCAUCGUGUCGCCUCUGCCCCUUUCGCCGCCCGACGCCUCCGCUGCGUCUGACCCUUGCUCCCAUCGAAAGCUCCACCGCCAGUGAAGAGAGGUGAGGAAAAGAGGAGGGGAAUGGUGGAAGCAAGGAGACGAUGCGAAAGGAUGAGAGAGGAGGAGGGGAAAGGGAGGGGAAGGAAGACGGGUGGACAGUAAAGGAAGAAGAGGGAAAGAGGAGGAGGCGAAAGGGAAUGAGAGGGAGGAGACGGGGGAAGGGCGGGCAACGAGGACGACGAAGGCAAGGGAGGGAUAGUUUGGUUAAUUUUUGAAUGAUGGGCACAUUUGGGAAAACAAAAACAAAAGAGGAGCGCUGCUUAGAAAAACCCAAAAUGAGAAUGUUUUUCAAAAGAAAUUAUCCUAUAAAUAAAAAUUUAAUUUAUGAUUAAUAUUAAAUAUUUUUAUCAAAAAAAAUUCUCACUAUUUUUUUACAUUUUUACAUGAGGGUAUUUUUUUUUAAAUGAGGGUUUUUUUUUUUUCUUGAGGGCAUUUUUACAUAUUCAUUUUUACAUGAGGGUAUUUUUUUUUCUUGGAACAAAACACUCUCAUACUUUCACUUAAAUGAUUUGAUUAUUUAAAAAAUCUUAAUUUUGAUAAUUAAUUAUUAUCAAUUUUUUAAUAAAAAAUAAAAAAAUGAUAAUUAUCAUCUUAGAAUCAUGUCCUAAUGAUUCUAAGAUGAUUAGUCUCAUUUUUUUUAUAAUAAUUAAUUAUCAAUUUUUUAAAAAUAACAUAUGUGAUCAAGUCAUCUUAUUAAAAAAAUAAAAAUAUUUUCGUCCAAAUAGGAAAAACAAAAAAGCCAUUCCCAAGUAAAAAAAUGAAUAUAAGCGGUUUUUUUUGGAUAAAAUACCCAUUAAUAUUCUUCAUAUAGUCAACCAUAAAUGUUAAAAUUGAUAUAAAUGGCUUUAGAAACUAACAAAUAAAACUAAGAUCUGCUAAUUCUAAAAUAAAAUCAUAGAUCAUGUCUUAUCUGAUGUUAAAAUGUUAAAAUUGAGAAAUACUUUUUGAUGUAAUGAUAUUGAUUACUAGUUUCAAAGUGAAAUAAAUUGUAUUAAACUGUUAUCUUGAUCAUGUACUGAGAACAUGUCAUAAUUCAUCUAAAAUUUGCAAUGCACAAAAUACUCUAUUUUCACAUUAAAAUAGUGUAUUAAUGCGCAAGAUACUCUAUUUUCAAACUAUACAACAAUAUAUAUAGAUGUUGAAAAAAUUCCUAAUUCAAUCUAAAGUGUUGUGUGGGAGGUCACAUCUCAGCAUAGAAUGUAUUUGUUGAGUCCCAAACUGGUUUUUCUUCAGCAAACUCUUGCACUGAUGGCUCUUCUUACUGCACAUCAACAAAUAAAGUAUGUUAAAAACAUUCUAAUAUCAAGCAUUAGUUGAACUGUUUCACCUGAUUCAUGUGAGAUCCCAAUCCAUCUUGUCUUGUAUCUUCUCAUUCCAUAUAUGUUGUUUUUUGGGGGUGGGAGGGGGGGGGGGGAGGCAAUAGCAGCAAAGGAAACCUUCAACAUCUGAGUGUUUGCAGUAGUAGAUUUCAAGAUCCCACUGUGAUGAUGUUACCAAGCAGAGUAGGUUAGUGUUUUGGAGUACAACAAGCAAUAUAGAUUUAGCAGCAUCAAAGAGUGGAGAUGGUAGCAUAAAUGCUUGUUUGCAACAGAUCUUUGAUCACACGAAGAACUAGAAGUCUGUCAAUAGGUGUGUUGGUGAAGAACUCAAAUACUCUUAAAUGUUAUCUCACAAUUUAGUGCUGAUGCAGAGCCAAUUUCAUUGCAAGUGAGCUUAUCUUUUCUAUGUCUAUUUGGAUACAAUCUCAUCUGGUUUGGUAUUGGCAACAUCUACUUCUCUCAUGUAUUGGCAACAACAUAUAUGGCCUGCCAUUUCUUAGCAUCCUCCUGCUCUCUUCUCAACCUAAUGUUUUCUUGGAUUGAUGAUAGUCUGAUGGAUGAUAUGAUAUAAUGGCAAACCUGUUGCUUAUGACUUUUCCUAUCAUUUCACUCCAAAGAUGAAAGAUUGCUUCUGAGGUUUCUUAUAGAUGUCAAGCUGAAGCCUAAGAAACCAUUCACAUUUAUGGUGGCAAGUUGUUAUACAUACCUCUAAAGUCUAAGACUACAACUCAGUGAUAUCAUCAUGAAUUAUUUGGGGUAUGAUUUGAACAAUUACCUUGACAGAAGCUGUCUUUGCAUUGCCAAAUUUCCCAACCCAAAGUUCAUUUAUUUAUUUAUACUCUUAUAAAAAUGUUGAUAGCUUUUGGCAUUCUGAAUCCCUAUUCUCUUGACAAAUAAAACUUCUCCUUUUAU
This 66322-nucleotide long non-coding RNA is filed under the name Musa acuminata (dwarf banana). RNAcentral describes it as "long non-coding RNA (MACU_LNC003073)". The record is from RNAcentral. Lineage: Eukaryota; Viridiplantae; Streptophyta; Magnoliopsida; Zingiberales; Musaceae.